UUUUUUUUUUUUUUUUUUGGCAUCUAGGCAAAAUGGAUAAGAACGCACUAACUGUAGAUUAGGUGGCUAGUCAUAGUACAGUGAAAUGCACGAUAAUUGUGCGCUAAUUUAAAUUUUGUCUGUUGGGAGGUACGCUAUAAAAUCAAAUUUCAUCCUUUUAACGUUUAAUGCAAGAGCUUAGACAAAUAUUCAUGGUUCAUAACAGUCCUAACUUAGACUUGCAACUUUUCACUUAUAUAAAAUCAAAAUGGACCCCUUCAUUAAUUUUCGCUUAGGAACUGAUUUACUUAGUUUAACUACACGAGUUUGGUUUUGUUUAACAUCCAUGUGACCUCUUUAUGAUUUGUAUAAAUAUCCAUUUUAUCUCUCUGUGAUUUUUGCAUGAAUAAAUUCAUGCAAUCUCCUUAUGUUUUUAUACGAGGUGGGUAAACCGUCAAUUGAUUUAGCAUUUAAAUAAGAAUACUAUUAGUAUUUCAACUAACGGUGGAGUACAUAGGUUAUUUUCCAUCAAAUUUUCACUUUUCAUAAAAUUAUAGAGGGUGAAGUGGAUAUUUUGAAACGUUAAAAAGAUCAUAUAAUAAUAGAUAAAACCACCACGGGGGAUUAUAUGUAAUUUACCCCUAAAAAGUAAUGCUCCACCUAGUUUACCAAGUGACACACUUUUCUUCUGCUGCGAUAAAAGCGUGAGACAAAGAGAUAAACCAGGAGCAUCAUCAUCUUUUGCACUUCUCUAGAAAAGUCCACCUAAUUAAACUAUUGGCAGUUGUCAUUUGUUAAUUAACAGAAGUUGAUGUUUUACAUCUAUAAUUAAUUAUAUACGUAAUCAAACGAGUUAACCGGAAAAAUCUAAGUCGUAUUCCUUUUUCAGCAGUACAUAUUUUUUUGUUUGGCUAAUUUUGUCAAACAUGAAUUAAAAAAAAGGGUAAACAUAGAGCAUUAGAAGCAUCCGUUUGUUUAAAAGAAGUUAACAAGUUAUAAUACACACCAAUAGCUCAAUAACCAAAUGAUCCAUAUGCUAAUGUUAAUAAUUCCUUUAUCUCUUAAUCUUGAUUAGGAUAGCUUUUGAUUUUUUUUUCUUUUUUUUUUUUUAAAAAAUAUAAAUGACUGAGUCAUGAUUUAAGAAAACGCUAAAUUCGCAUCCCUCCGUCCUAAAAUGAAAAUCACUUCAUAUAUAUACGAUUGAAUAAUAAUGGUAUAAAAUAAUAAAGGGUAUGCAUCAAAAGUGCAAAUUUAACGUGAAAGGUAUGAAUUCAGCCAAUUCCAAGCACUUAUAUUGAUAAAAAUCUAUGUCACUUUCCCUUAACCCUUUAAGGGUUUUCUCGUGCUUUGAAAAGUUCAUAUACUUCGUGAACCUUUUGAAUCAAGACCAGAAACACAAUUUGGUUUUUAAAUAAUCUUGAUGUCAUCAAGAUUAAGAAAUAAACAAAAAAAAAAAAAACUUAAAAUGGCGCGUGAACUCCCAGCGCAUUUUGGUCAAAUUAUGAACCAUGACACGCAACUUUUCAUCUGAGUCCCUUUGUUGAAUUUCCUAGUUUUUGACAAUAAAAAUGGCCACUGCGUAAAAUGCUAAUUUUGACGGACCCUUCAACGGGGUAGAAAAUAACGUUUACCGGGAACAGUACGGUCAAAACGAAUCCAUAACAAUUUCAGCCACAAAAAUCUAAAAUAGUGUACCAAAAAAUCUGUUAAAAUUGAAAGGACUUUGCAUAUUCAGUCUUGAUCAGCAGUUGAAAAUCUGCUAUUCAAUUUAUAGGGAGUUUAGUCGCGGGGCUUAUUUUGUCAACAUCUUGUGCUGAAGUUCAUGAGGGUUGAUCAGCCAAUUCGUCCAAUUUUUGGACCAAAAUUCUUAGUCCAUUUAUGUACUAUUGUACCUCUGUUUUUCUCAAUCAUUCAUUCUGUAGUUAGUUUGAGAAUAUUUUAUUCCUAGUCAAAAUUCUUCUUCGCCGGUUCAUCUAAUUCUUCAAUCACUAGAUAUCUUUAAUUCUUUUGACUGUUCAUACUUUUUCUUUGGUUGAUUACUAGUCAAUAUAUUUGAAUCUUGGGAUAGCAUCCAGUUCAUAACGAUUCUUAUUGAAUGGAAGUUUUCGUUUUUUUUUUAUUUAUAAAAUAGAAGGAAGAAGGAAAUGGGAAAGGAGAACCGGAAAAUUCAAAUGAAACAGAAGGUCUUAGCAGUCGUUUGUAAUCAUUAAUUUACUUUUACAGAAAAGGAACUUAGAAAAUUGUAGACUUGUAGAAAUAUUCUAGAUUCAAUUUGAAUUGUUACUGCAGACUUGUAAAACCAUUCUAGAUUCAAGUAAAAUUUUCUUGAUUCUCAAGCGAAGGAUAGGAUACUACGAGUUUUGCCUUUGCAAUUUGGAAGCAUAUUAAUACAAAAAAAAAAGAAAAUAAAUCUUAUAUACACCGACAGUGUACACACUAUCAUGAUCACAUGCACGAUACAUAUGCAAAAUUUGAAUUUCAAAUUCAAACUUGGAUUAUAUGCUAUGCAUCUAAUGUUGAAAGAGUAUACACUGUCAGUGUAUAUGAAAAAUUAAUCCAAAAAAAAAAAAAGCAAGCUGCUUUGUAUUAUCAAUAUACGCAAUGAAUAAAGUAGAGUGUAAAUCUUAAUUUAAGAACAUAUUUAAACUCAAGUGGAUCAUACUCUUUAAAAAAUCUUGAGCCACUUUAAUGCAUCAAUUUUGUCGAAAACAACGGGAAAGUCGGCAACUUUUCGAUAAGUGCAACCCUUUAUUAAACGUAAAAAUACAAAGUUUCUAACCGUCCUAUCAGAGAAGUAGUUAAAAUAUAUGAUAUAAUCCACAAGAACUGGUAAACGUUGAAUGAUGAAGGUGGGGACACGGGACGGCGGUGCAAGGCGGCUUAUUUGCAGAACCCGGUAACCUCCCUGCCUCGCCCAGCCCCUAAUUAUUUAUUCCUCCAUCAUUUCUCUUUCCAAACAGACAUGAAAAUGGUUAAAAACUCCCUCUUUUUCCUCCUUAUAUACUAUCCAAGAUAAUGAUGAAGAUGAAGAAUAACAUGUAGAGUAGUGUGGAUUUAUAUAGGAUGGCUUCCUAAUAUAUCUCCCAAUUCCAAUAUAAGAAGACGAGUUAUUUAAUUUCCUUCUUUUUUUUUUUUAUGAAACACCAUGCAUGAGAACAGAAAAUAGAUAAUUGAUCCUAACACUAGAAGAUGGCCCUUUUGGAUGAUAAAUAUCUUGGCUACUGACAUAUUCACCACAAAUCAACCUUGGUGUCAUGCAGCCGGAGAUGGAAGCUGCAGCCUUUCAAUUUGACGUGAUGAUAUUUCACUUUGAUACAAGAAACCUAAAGUUGUUUUGCUAAAAAUAGAUAAACAAAAAAAUGGCUUUAUUAUAUCUGUUAUCUAACUAUAAUUCGUUUUGGCCGAUCACCUCACGAAUUGGCAAAUAAAUUAAGAGAAAUGUUAUUCGCGCUCCAUUUUUUCUUAUUUGUAUUUUCAUAAUUUGUUUUAUUAUAUGAUGUAAUAAAUGAAAACUGUAUAAUUGAAAUGAGAGUGGGAUUGUGAUUAACAAAAAUGAGAGUACAAAUAACAUUUCUCUGAAUUCAAAUGUGAACUAAUAAUAUUAGCUUUUGUUGCCUUGAAGACCAUUACUCAAACCAUUUUUCGUGCUGCUAUUAUAUUUCAAAUAAAAAGGCUACAAGCCUACAUGACCUUACGCAUGGAUUUGACUUUAGGUGAUAAUGAAGAGGAUGCAUGAGCGAGCAAGCAAAGAAAUGGAGAUAAGGUAUUCCGUCAUUAGUUUACCAGCUAAUAUCCAAUGUAACAGUUGAGCAAAUCCUGACCUGAACCAAGACUUCUCUGCUUCUGACUUCCCUCAUUUAAAUACUGCCCGGAAUGUCUCACUUGCAGUCUGCCCCAUCCUUAGAACUUUUGCUCAAGUUACAAGCAGAUAGCAUCAUUUGACUCUGCCAAAUUUUAUUAUUAGCUCUUAAAGGCAUUCUUUUUUUUUUUUUUGAGUACAAAAAAUUAUUACUUUUGUACCGUAUAAUUUAGGUUGUUAAUAACUCAUAAAAUAUGGAAAGUACAGAUUAUGAAUUGCUUUACAUGUUCUGAUGUUUUGUUACAAAUUAAAGUAAAUAAGGGCGCAAUCUUUUUCCAUGAUAAAAUUACAUGCAUGAGUUAUAGCAAAGGUAACUGUAAUUUUCAGCUUUCCGGGAUCAUAAAUUGCAAAUUGCAUGAAUCCUAACAUCUCAAUGCUGCAAUCCCCCAUUAUUAUUUCGACAGUACAAGAUCAACAUGUGAUUUAGUUGACAUUGACGGGUCUAUUGAUGUUCUCAACGCCAGCUUCGAUAUGUUGGGCACUUCAAUCCUCAGCACUUUCAUCCGCCAAAGACAGGAGGGGCCAGUGGCCAUCGGCUGCUGAUAAAAUCAUGUCUGAUGAGGACAAAAGUCUGUGCUUAUCAUCAGAUGAAAAGGGUUCAGCAAUUACCUAAAAACCAAAAAGUGGAGUCGUUUUGUUUCUCUAAUUGUCUAGCCACAGAACCAUCUAAUCUUAUUCACGUUGGCUGACAGUCAUAUCUAUUCCGUAGACUUGGUAUUCAUGAAAUGUCUUAUAUUCACAAAUGGAACUCUUACGCAUGCAACGUCCUUGCGCAUUAAAAAAGGACCCUGAAAUGCCAAUAGAGAAUUGUAUCUCCAUCUUCUAAGGCACGAUACAAUGUUUAUUUUCACCCCGUAAUAGAAAAUCGAAAAAGAGAAAGCAGAAAAGUGUCAAGAAAGAAAAAAAAAUACUACAACUUAGAUAUGUUUUCAUGUGUCAUAAUGUGCUUCCAAAAUCAUGUUUUAGCAUUUGAAAAGCACAUUUCUAGAAAGUAGAUAGUAUUUGCCCACAGGAAUUAGAACAAGGGGCUGCCUAGGUAUAUUACAAAGCAACAAAGUUGAUACGAAAAGUACUAAGAACACAUAUAUACUCCCUCCGUCCCGUUUUGUUAGUCUUGAUUUUUUUUUUUUCACACAGAUUAAGAAAGUGUAAUUAAUUUGGUUGGAAACAUAAAUUUAGAUUAAUAAUUUCCUAAAAUACCCUUAUGCUAAUCACGAAGAGUGCCAAUUAAUAUCAGUUACAGCUAAUGGGUUAGUAUUGGAAAAAUUCAAUGUAUUCAAUGUAGUGGGUUAGUAUAUAAUAACAAUGUAUUAAUAACAAGAUAUUUAAUAAGGGUAUUUUAGACAAUUUGAAAGAUUACUACAUUUCUUAAUGGAAAAGUGGACUACAAUUUGGGACAGACGAAAAAGGAAAACAAGACUAUCAAAGUGGAAUAAAGUUAAACCAUGUUUUGAUAAAGUUAAACCAUGUUACUGUAGUAUAUAGUAUUUGUCCUUGAACUAAGCAACAAAAGUCUAUGUCCGUGGCAACAAGAAAAGUUAAAGAAGAAAGAGAGCAUAUGGUUAUGGGAAAAUGGGCAAUGGCAAGGGCAUAGGGAAUUGAGAAUUUGCUAUUCUUUUCUUUUCUUUUCUUUUUCAAGAAUGGGGAAAGGACUAAAGAGGCUUUGGUGCAUAAUUUAUUUGUUAACAAACCGGCUGCCGAUAGUUAAAAAAUUAGUUUAGCUGACCCAUGAAACAAGGGGUGUCCAUCCAUGAGUGUAUGUUUAGUCAAUCUCCAGGUGGAAUUCAAUAAAAAAAAAAUCAGAAACUUUGAAUCUUAAACUAUGAGUGGAAAUAAAAAAUUGAAAAAGCUGUUUCUGAUAUCUUCACACCUUGCUCCUGUUGGGUGCAUGCAAAUUUUAACAGCAGUGAUAAAUUUAUUAGCUGAUGCGAAACUCAACUAAUUAACAGGGUUCUCGUUUUCAUGUAAAAAUGAUGAUCAGUUUGGGCCAAAUUUGGUUUUUGAUUUUACCCAAUUGAAAUUUUUUCCUUUUUAUAAAGAAAAAAACAAAUUUUCUCUGCAAUUUCAAUCUCCAUCAGCAAGGAAUUAUCAUUCUUUUCUAGUGUACAAAGAAGCAUGAAAAGAUUACCAAUGGAAAUGACAGUGUGCACGUUUUUACACUCUAUUCUUGGCUUUUACUCUUUAACACGGCCCAUUAUGGUGUAUCCUCUUCAACUCUUGAAUCUAGUAUCAUAUGCUACUAAACUCUUGUGACAUCUGCUACCUCCAUUAUUUGAAAAACGAAUUGUGCAUCUGUUUUCUAGUGUACAAGAAAGUAUAACGUCCUUUCAAAAGAUACCAAAUCCAAAUGGUGAUAUGCAUAUGCUCACAAUCUAUAUAUUCUUGGCUUUACUUUUGAACAUGGUCCUACAUAUGUGGAAUAUUUUCUACUGAAUUCUUUACACAUGUAUAUAUAUGCUGCUGAAUUCGUGCGACAUUUGCAAUCAUGAAUAUAUGCUAAUGCCGGAAUAGGAUCGAAGGACAUCUAUACUUGGGUAGAGGUAAGGUGUCAAAUGGUAUCCAAGCCAGAUUUUAUUGGUCAUCAAAAAGUAAAAAAACCAAAUGGUAAGCAUAUACUGGGAGUCAUCUAUGGCAUAAGGUGUAGUGAGUAUAUAGCUAGGUAUCAUUAAGUAAUUUAUUCAAUUAAAAUAAACUAAGUUGAUCUAUUAAUUCUCCUAAAAAUAAAAACGAAGUUUGAUGUUGUAUUAACUCAUUUUGUGUAUUACAUUAAUUGUAUGCAACAAAUCCCUAGCUGUUUUGUAAACCCUGUAAUUGGUGCAGCAAAACAUUCAAACCUCACGUCCAGCGAUUAUUUGAUUGGGAUAAUUAGAUUAUGAUGAUAAAUUCUUGGAUUCAAUUCUAUGCAAUAUGUACUGCGUACAAUUUUGUGACUCACAGAGAAGUGAAAACCCCAUAAUCCAUAGCAACCACAUAGAUGCUUAUAAUUCAAGAGCAUCGUAUAGAUGCUUAUAUUAAGUACUUUUCUUCGGAGGGCUCUUCAAUAACCUAUGUAGUUCUUUGACAUCAAUAGCUUGCAACCUAUGUAGUGAUAGACUCCACUAUUACCCCAUCCAGAAAAAGUUGAAAAUUAAAAUUAAGUGGUGAAAUAAUUAGCUAUUCUAAUUACUUCCACAGAGUACAUAUGUUGGAUCAAUUUUUUUUUUUUCAGAAACAAAAGAAAAAUGUCCACAAAUUCGACAGAAAUUCAUCUUAAAUGUAGGCAAGAAAUUGAGGUUUCUUUCGCUUAAGUUGAAUUUUCUUGGAUAAGUGUUCAAGUUUUGUGUCUCCUUAUAUACGUCCUUAUGCCUAUCCUAAAUUAGUUAGUGAAAGUUAAUGGAAUCUAUGUGAAUUUGCACGAGGAGCCCGCUGAAAGUGAAAGGGCUAAUGAACCUUUAUUUUCUUUGGAUGAAACCAAGUCAAAUGGACUAGAGUUUUGAUGCUUUUUGCAAGCAUCGAUUAAUGUGACAAAGACACAAUAUUCUUUUGAGGUGUAAAUAAAUUUUUGAUGGAUUAAUGCAGCACCCAUUCUUUUCUUCUUUUUGAGUUGGUUGUCAGUUCAGACUUGGUAUUUUCGACCUCACAACAGAUUGAAAGAGUCCAAAAGUACCUCUUGUAGUCAUUAAUUUGAUGCAUAUGAAGAAACUGUGUGAUGGAUAUGCUUUCGCCUAAUUAAUCUGCUUGAAAUUAGAUUUUUGAACUAGUCAACAGAAAAUAAAUCACCGUUAUGUCUGGUGAAUAUAAAACAGCGAUUUUAAUUAUACGAAAAAACUGGAUCACAAAUUCAUGAUUUGGGCACUAAUUCUUUCUUUCUUACUUUUUUUUUAGUGAAGAAAAGCAAACAGGAAAAGGUAUACCACCAAACAGACAUAUCAUGCUCAUUCUUGGGUGAAAAAAAGGAAUUACAAUGACCUUGAACUUGGUGCAAAUGCGUGUAGAAGCCUAUUUCUUGUGCUGAUUGUUACUAUUCCAUGUACUUCUGCUGAAAAUUUGCCGACCAUUUUCUUGUGCGUUGGAGAACUAGGAAGAAUUGAAAAGUUUGACGAACAAUUAAUUAAUUUGCCAUACACAGUGCUUUAGACUUCAGCUAAAAGGUGAAUACCAAUUUGUGGUUGAAAUGCAUGAUUACUCAAUAGCUAUCUUUUCAAGAAUUCAAGUACAUUGGUCGUGCUAGGGUCGGGUUGGGGCGCCGGAUCCGGGUCGCAGGAAAUUAAUCGGGCCCCGUAAGGAUUGACCCGGACACCCCUGUGUUGAAAAAAAAAAAAAAAAAAAGUACAUUGGUCCUUUUGUUUUUUUUUUUUUCCCUUGCGAGGAACAAAUGCUUCACAAUCGGCCCCUUAAUUACGCGAUCUUGGAUGAAGAAUUUUGGUGUAAUGCAUCGUUUUCUUAGACAAGUUGGAUGAUAACAAACUCAGUCAUUGCCAACUCUUGAUUUAGUCAUAAGCCGAAGGUAUUGCUAAAACAUACCAAUAACUAUUUUUGGGCGUAGAAUCCUUUAUUUCACUUCUCAUGCAAAUUUCCAUUUCAGUGCUUAGUAUUACAAGUGUCAGCUCACAAUAUAAUUAUGUUGACACGUCCAAAUCCACCCCACUAAUAAAAAAUAAGUAAUUAGGUAUAUCAUAUUCAUUUUUUUAUAUGAGUACAAAUAGAUUAAUUUAUUUUGACCCAUUUAUUAAAUGGGUUAAUUUGAUUAAACCUAUUAUUUAAUUAUGAACCAUCCAAAUUCGUUCAUAUCAUCCAUUUUGACACUUAUACUCAACAUUACUAUAUCGAGGCGAGAUGUGUCAGGAAUAUACGAAAAUUUUUAUAUAGGAUGUCACUCGUUUGAAAUUGAGGUCCAUAACUCAUGAAUAAAUAUCACCAAGUAAAUUGCGAAUAUUUAAUUCAAAUAUUCAUGUCAAUCCUUGACAAGAUCGAUCGAUUCAUAAAUUUCAUGUUGAUUGACACUAUAAAAUUUAUCGAAAAGAAAUAAAAUGCGAAUGCACAUGUUAAUUUCUUUAUUCUUGAAUCAGUCAUUGAUGCAAUAUUUUGAGACCUAUCUCCAUAUUUUCCAAUCUCCAUUACUUCUACAUAAGUAAACAUCUUCGAUAUGAACUUGAGGUAGAAAGCUCUUUGAAGUUGCGAACGUUGAAAUUUUCCAAUGAUUUGUGACGCUAGUAUGAUGCAGAACUUGGUAAUUGCUUGGAAUGAUAGCGAGCCAUGGACGAACCUGCCCUCUUACUUCUAUGGGGAUAACAACAGAUCCACCAAAUCGCCAAUCAUUUAUUCAACCUUCAAACAUUAGUUUGAAUUUCUAUUCUUCACUGAAUAUUGAGCCAGCAUAUUGCUGACUAGUAUUUUUUUUGUUACUUAAAUCAAUUUUCUAUGCUUACAUUUUUUUUAGGUAUAUAGUUCGUGAGUAUCAAAUAAGUCAUCACUAAAAUCUAUUUUCAUCAACCACGAUAUAGUUUGAAUACUCGUAGCCAGAUAUUGUUGUUUAUACCAAACGGUUCAAACAUUAUUUGUUAAAAAAAAAUUUUCUGCAUGAUAUUUGAGUGGAAAAAAAGCAGCUAGGGUAAAUAUUUAAAUCAAAAUGUCGAAUCAACUACUACAAUUUUGUCCUUUUAUUUGAUCUUUUCUUAUGCCACCAAUUCAAAUAAAAUAAUAACAGCUUUGACUUUUCAAGAAAUGAUAAAUGAUUAAUCAACUAACCUACCCUCCUUUGUUUUCCGGUACGAAUUAGCCUAUAACUUAAGUAGGACCCUACUUAGAAAAUGUUAUACUUAUAUAUACCACGCUAUACAGACGUACCUAUUUUAUUGAUUACAGCUAAGAUUAAGAUAAUUUUAAUCGGCAAAUGAUGUCAAAGAGCAAUUGGGAUGUUGAUUCAGGGAGAUAAAUUAUUUGUACAAUCCAAAAAAGAUAGAACAAAAGGGAUCUCACGGAGCUAAUUGUUGUUUAGUUGCUAGUAAUCUUCCUGUGUGAACCAUAGAAAGUUCAGUGGCAGCCGCUAAUGGAACCUAAAAAAGAAUUACGUUUUAGAUAAUGUCCUCAAUUAUUUUUAAUUGUUGAUUCAUAUCAUAAUUAAAAGCCUGUUUGAUCAGAAUUCUGAUACUGUGGCACAUGUCACUAAUGGCGAAUUAUGUACAUCGUAGUUUAUGUUCCCAAGCAACAUGGUCCACCGACUUGCAAGAAUCCAAGACUCUUUCACCUCUGAUUUGUAUUGAUUAAUUACUGAUCUUUUGCCGAAACGGAAAUAAACACAUACACACACAACUAAUUAAACCACACACAGGAGUAAAUGAAAAAUCGGUCCGAAAAUAAUCUAAGGAGAAUCUACAAAGAACCAUUGUUCAGCCAAUUGAUGAUAGAAUAGAGUCCCUGUGAACCUUAAAUUCAUAGUGAAGACUCCCAUGAUCUUUCGACGUGGGAUAGGAAGUCUUUAACCCCUCCCGUACACACCCUCACCAGCGAAUGGGUGCAUGAUUAUGACACUCAAAAUGAUUAAUGUAACUUUGAACAAUUUCUAGCAAUUUCUGUUGUCCGAAAGGCAAAUUUUGGUGCAGGUCUUUUUAUGGAAGCCGCCCCACUAGUUAAGAGUCCUAAGCACACAAGCAAACAAACUAUCUAGUCAAACUGCACAAUGGCCAUUAAUUCUUUCUUGAUCUAUCUAUUAUUCCAAAUAAACAAACAUGUUAUAUAAGGCAUUUGGAGUGAGAUCUCACUACAGUACUAAGCAAGAGUGAAUUUUUUUUACUGAGAAGAGAUUUGAAAUGAACAGUUAAUGUCUCAAUAAUUUACAAGUUAUUAGGUUUAGCAUUCAAUUCCUGUAUCGAACAGUUGGGAGUGGAAAGGAUGCUGGGAGGGGUGGGAAGUCAAACAAAACAAAAGUUAAGAAAAAAGUUGUUUAACUGACCCCCAAAAAAAUAUUUGCAAGUUGUUUUCAACUUGGACUAAUCUUCUUUUGACCAUGGAAGAGAAUGUGGUAUAUUUCGCCUCGUUUGACUAAUAAAUAUUUUAAAUGAUUGGUUGGUGUUCCCAGUUUUUUUUCACACUAGGCCAAAUUAUGCAUACAUUGAACAAAUUGAUUUAAUUCAAACAUGGAGUACUAGGAUAUGAUCCACAGACACGGUGUUUAAGAAGCUCAAUAUUCGUUUGUAAUUCCAACAUGCCCUAAUUAAAAGUGUUUGAAAAACAUAUUGUAAACUUUGUUUCCAUUUUUUUUUAAAAUUUAACUGGUUUUGAACAUAAAUCAUAAAAUCUAAACAACCAAGAAUAUCUUUUAGUCAACCCCAGUAAUUAUCUCAUGAGAGAGAUGGUAAAUUAUACACUGAAUCAUGGACCAUGUCCAUGUUAUCAUUUUACUUUUUCUAAGCAUUUUAAACUUAAUUAAUCUUUCCCUCAACAUGCAGAUUAGGUUAAGUAAUUUCAUAGUGAAUCAUUUAAUUGGGACAUUUCUUAGUGCCAAAAGAAAAAAAACAUGGUAAAUAUGCCAAGUUGUGACUUGUGAGUCUAAAGACCGGAAUGGGAUAAUUCCCUGCAAUCUUAAUAUAUUAGUUACUACACCAUCAAAUCCAUUGACUAGAUUAACUGUUUGAUGAGUAAUUGACUAAUGAAUUGAAACAAUGAUAGCUAAGCAAUUUCAUAUUUUUGGAUAACAAGGUUUGGGUACUAGUACACUAUUCAUUUCAGAAAACGGCGAACUUAUGCUUGCUAUUUUUUAAACUAUUAGAUCUUUUUUUGGUGUUCGUUUAGAUGUUGACAAGUCUUAUGAGAUGAAUGUUCACAUCCUUAAGGCUUCAAAGUCUUUCUUGACCAUUAUUUUCAUCUUGUUUACCGGCAUAUAUUGGAGACUCUAUUACAAAAUUGUCACCAAUAAUAUGGCAAUCUGUCUCUCUAGAGUAAAGCAUGCAAGUAAAAUUGAAGCCACAAAGAUUCAAAUUGGAAACCAUGCAAUUCACGUAAUGAAACCCUUUGCAACGUUUGCUUGAAGCUUCUCAAUCAUUCGGCAGAUGGUUAAUGAUUGUGCAAAUAAAAAUGUUGCAAGAAAUUUCAACUUUUUAUGUACCAAAAGGGGAUGAAAAAUAAUCGAUUCCUUCAAAACAAACAGUUACAAAAAAAACCCACCAAAAAAAGAAAUGUCAAUAUAUAUAGUAACAAAACAAUCAAGCCAUGGGCAUAUCUUUACAAACAAGUCAUAGGUUUGUCGCAUUACGCUGCCUUGACUCGAUCAAUACGUACCCAGACUGAGAACAGGUUUAUGUUGGAAACACAGAAGCCACUCUGAACUUUCAGCAAUUUUGUGCUUAUCCAAUGAAAACCAAAACAUAAUUAGGUUCGAAUUGAUGCAGAAGGAAUUAUGGUAGUAAACGAACUUUUUUCUACGGGCAAAUUCUUGAUAACGUACUUAGACGUCAAAACAUGACGUAUUAGUUUUCAAAUAUUAAUUAAAACCACUCUUCCUUGCAUGUUCUUUUAGAAGGCUAAGUCAACAUCCUUAUUAACAAGUUUAAGGAACACUUAAGAAAGCAAUGUCCUUAGGCGUUAAAAAAACAGACCCUGAAACGGCAGAAAAGUGUCGAAAAAAUUAAACAACACUGACAACCUGGAUCUGUUUCCAUGCGUCAUAUAUAUAUGUUCAGUAUAGCUUGUAAUGUGCUUCCAAAAUUAUGUUGUGGCAUUUUAAAAACACAUUUCUAUAAAUUAUUUAUCCGCAGGAAUUAGAACCAACAGGCUGAUUAGGCAAUAAUAUACUAUAAAGUUGCGUUGAUGGUUUCGCCUGCCACAUACUAAAAGUACUAAGAGUACAUAUACAUUUUGUUUUGAUAAUAAACCCUUGAAUCUAGAAAUAUCUGCUGCUGAAUUCGUGUGACAUUUGCAAUCUCAAUUAUUCGCUUGGUCCUUCAUUUUUGACACUGAGAAGGGAAAAUUGACUUCUUCCUUUAACUGAUGUUACAGGUUGAAUGUUAGGCUAUAUAUAAUGAUAGUAUCCUGUACCUGAAUCGAGAAUUGAAGGACAUAGAGUUCGGUAAAUGGUGACCAAAUGGUAUCCAAGGCAGAAAUUAUGGGUGAAAAAGGUAUUAGAACGAAAUGAUUCCCAUUUAUACUGGGAGGCAUCUCUGGAUAUAAGUAUUCUUCUAAAAUUCUGAAAGGGAAAUGGAAUUAUCCUAAGUUCUAAUAUGCUAAUUUAUAAUCGACCCAACACGCUGUCUGUAAGACGAUGUAGUAAAUGCAUACGUAUCAUCCCAUGACUCUCUUUUUGUUUGAUCUCUCUAAGGUUUUUUUUAAAGAGAGUUUCAUCUUUUCGAGGUUCUUUAUUGUAUUAACACUUGAUAGACUCCACUAUUACCCCUUCUAGAAAAAGUUGAAAAUUAAAAUUAAGUAGCUAUUCUUAGUUCUUCCGCAGAUUAGAUAGAUAUGUUGCAUCACUUUUUUUUUUCAGAAACAAGAGAGAAAAGUAAUCCACAAAUUCUGCAGAUCUUAAAUGUGGGCUUGAAAUUGAAGUUUCUUUUUCUUGGAUAAGUGUUGAAGAUUAGUGUCUCCUUAAUUACAUAUAUGAACAUGGAGUAAAGGAAGGUUCCAUGCACCUUUUUUUGACGAUUAUGGCUAUCAUUGAUUCAGAACCAAAAUUAGUUAAUGAAAUUUAAUGGGGUCUACGUGUGUUUGCACGAUGAGCCCGCUGAAAGUGAAAGGGCUAAUGAAUCUUUAUUUUCUUUGGUAGAGAACAAAUCGAAUGGAGUGGAGUUUUGAUGCUUUUUUCAAGCAUCAAUUAUUGCCACAAAGGCAGAAUAUUUUUUUUUUUAGGUGUAAAUAAAUUGUUGAUGCAUUAAUGUACCCAUUCUUUUUCUUCUUUUUUAGUUGGUUGUCGGUUCACAGUUGAUAUUUUCAACCUCACAACAGGUUGAAAGAGUCUUAAAAGUGUCUUGCAGUCAUUAAUUUGAAGCAUAUAUAGAAGAAGUUGUGUGAUGGAUAUGGUUUCGCAUAAUUGAUUUGAUUGGAAUUAAAUUUGAACUAGUCAAGAGUUAAUAUAUCAUCUUUAUGUCUGGCGAAUAUGGGACAACUAUUUUAUACAAAAAAAAAAAGGAUCACUAAUUCAUGAUUUGGACAGUAAUUCUUUUUUGAUUAUUUUCUAGGGAAGAAAAGGGUACAGAAAAAAAAAUAUAUACCACCAAACAAAAAAAAAAUCAUGGUCAUUCUUGGGUAAAAAAAAAAAAAAGGAAUUACAAUAACCUUGGACUAGGGGCACAUACAUUUGGGUAGAUGCCUAUUGCUUGUCUUGAAUAUUGUUAUUUCUGCAGAAAAUUUUCCAACCAUUUAAACUAGACCCUUAUCCAAAUUCAUUGGGGAUACUUGCAUUGGAGAACUAGAAAGGAUUGAAAAGUUUGAUGAACAAUUAAUUAAUUAAUUUGCUUUACACAAGGCUUUAGGCUUCAGCUAAAAACUGAAUCCCACUGAAGUUUGUAGUCGAAAUGCUUGAAUUUUCAACUGCUAUCUUCUUUUCUACCAAAAAAAAAAAAAGAAAAGAAAAAGUCAGUGGCUAUCUUUUAAAGAAUUCAUAUAACUACAUUGCGUGCGGUCCUUAUAAGUGUGUGUAUAGAUAUAUGUAUUUUCUCGCAAGGACCAAAUGCUUCAUAAUCGGUCCCUUACAUGACCUUGGGACAAGAAUUUCAGUGUCAUGCAUCAUUUUCAUAGACAAGCUGGAUGGUAAUAUGAUAACAAACUCCAUUCAUUGCCAACUUUUGAUUCUAGUCACAAGCCCCCACGUAUUAGUCAAAAAUACCAAUCACUAUUUUUUUCUACAUGAAAUCUUUUAUUUCACUUCUUACACAAAUUUCCAUCCCAGUACUCUAUAUUGUCUCACCACAGGUAAUUCAUUAGCCUUACCAUAGCGAGGUAUGCUAGGAACACAAGAAGAUCGUUAGGUUUAGGUAGAGCUACACUCAUUUGAAGUUCGACCCACUCAUCAAUUUUCAUGGAAAUUCAGAACACAUAAUUCAUUGAAAAGAAAUAAAAUGCAAACAAUCUUGUUAAUUUCUUUAUUCUUGAAUCUGUCGACGUAUCUCCAUCAUAUAAUAUCUAGAUACAUCUAGAUGAGUAAACAUCUUUGAUAUCAAUUGACAACCAAUAUUAACCUAAUUGAUAAGACGCAUCACAGGAAGUGAUAAAUGCUCUUUCAAGUUGCGAAACGUUGAAAUCUUCCAUCAAGUUGUGACGCUUGUAACAUGCAAAAUUUGAUAGCGAACCAUGUGAGAAGGAUGAGAACAGACCUACCAACUUGCCAAUCAUUUAAUCAAACUUCAAACAUAGCUUGAAUUUCUGUUCUUUAUUAACUAUUGAUUCAGCAUAUUGCUGACUACUAUCAUCUUUUUUAUGGAGGGAUCAUUUUCUGCUUACUCUUUUAAGUGUAUAAUGAGUAUCAAAUAAGUUAUCAGCAAAAUCUAUUUUCGUCUAGCACGAGAUGGUUUAAAUAUUCACAGCCAGAAAUUGAUGUUGUACCAAGACAAGAGAAUAAUGAAAUAAUAACCAUGAUUAAGAUCUUGAAUGCAAACGAAUUUGAAGCUUUGUAUGUUAUUUCUUUUGAUUUAUUUUUAAACUUAAUCCAGUGAUAUAUAGUCAUUAAUUAGAAUUAACAUACAAAAAUAAUAAUAAUAAACCAUUCUUUAUCAUCAAUCUCAUCUUGGUUAGUAAAAUGUCACGUUAGCAUAAACAGCUGGGCUAAUAGUUUUUACCUACUCCCUUGCAUGAUGUUUGAGUGGUGCAGAAGCAGCUAGGGUAAGGAUCAAAAUCAAGAGGUCGAAUCAACUGUUACAAGUUUGCCCUUUUAUGCGUUCUUUUUCCACUAAUACGUACAAAUGAUGAGAUAAAUUAAUAACAGCUUGACCUUUCACAUAGAAUUAAUCAACUAACCUAUGCUCUUUUUUUUUUAUUUUUUUUGGGUACGGAUUUGCCUAUAAUUUAAGUAGGACCCUACUUCGAAAUUAUUUAUUGCAGCCAAGAUGAAGAUGAUUUUAAUUGGCAAAUGAUGUCAAAGAGCAGUUGGGAUGUUGCAAAGUCUCCCUAAAAAGAUCAGAUCUUUUUGAAGAUAUGAAACUUUCUCCUUGAGUUGCGGAGCUAACGAUUCUGCGGGAAAGUAGAAUUUGCAACUUUUACAGGAAUCUGAAAGUGGCUGUGAUUGAUCGAGUGAUUGCAGUUGAAGAUGGGAUUGUAUGUGUUUAUGGAUUGAAUGAAAUUCAAGCUGGAGAAAUGAUUGAAUUUGCCAGCGGGGUGAAAGGUUGAUUCAAGGAGAUGGUUGUUGUCUAGUUGUUUGGUGAUCUUUCAGUCUAAACCAUAGAAAGUUCAGUAGCAACCACUAGGGGAAUCUAAAAAUGAAUUAGGUUCUAGAUGCUGUCCUCAAUUGAUUUUUAAUUCUUUAUUUAUUUCUUAACUAAAAGCUUGUUUGGGAACUCUGUCACUAAUGGCGGAUUAUGGUCUCGGAGGUGUAUGCCUUGAUCCAUGAUAACGAUUGAAAUUAAACCCAUUCAAACUUUUAUUUACAAAAAAAAAAUAAUAAAAAUAAUGGCGAAUUAUGUGCAUCAAAUUUUAUGUUCACAAACAACACCAUCCACCAACUUACAAGAAACACAAGCCUUUUUCAUCUCCAAUUUGUAUUCAUUAAGUACUGAUUUUGGUACAUGAUUAUGACACCCAAAAGAAAAAGUGUAACUUCGAACAAUUUUUAGCAAUUUUUAUUGUCCGAAAGGCAAAUUUUGGUGCAGCUCUUUGACGGAAGCCGCCCCACUAAAUGAGAGUACUAAGCACUCAAGACUUCAGGUUAUCUCACCUCCAAUCAAACUACACAAUGUCCAUUCUUUCUUGAUCUAAUCUAUUAUUCCAAAAAAAAAAAAAAAUUUGUUAUAUAAGCUACUGGAGGGAGAUCUCACUACAGUAAUAACCAGGAGUGAUAAAUAGGACUUCUGUGCAUGGAAAAAAUUUUUGGAAAAUUUAAAAAAAAAAAAAACUAAAGAACUUUAACUCUAUAAUUCAAGUAAUUUUCUGAUACAGAGAAGAGAUUUGAAAUGAAAAGUUAAUAAUGUCUCAAUGAUUUACAAGUUGUUUUCACCUUGAACCAAGAUUUUGUUUUUAUGACAAAUAAUUGCUAGCAUUCAUCAUAUUGAGGUAAUCUAUUUUUGACCAUGGAAGAGAAUAAUGUAAUUUAUUUCACCUCGUUUAGCUAACAAGUAUCAGUUGGUGUUCCCAUCUUUCUUCCUAAAAGGGCCAAAUUUUCUAUUUUGCGGGUGAUUUUUUUCCCUCUGUGUGUGUCAUAUUAUGAAUUAAAAAAAUGUGUAGUCUUUUCCCUAGUCAACAAUGUGUGAACACAUUGUAAACUUUGUUUCCAUUAUUUUUGUAAUUUAACGUGUUUUGAACAUAAAUCAUAAAAUCUAAGAAUUAUGUUUAAACGUUAUUACCUACGAAUCAAAUGGUAAUUAACAACACGCAGAAUCAAAGAGAUGGUAAUUAGCAUUUUAAACUUAAUUAAUCUUUCCCUCAACGUGCAGGUUAGGCUAAGCAAUCUCAUAGUGAAUGAAUCAUUUAAUUGGGACAUUUCUUAGUGCCAAAAGAAAAAAAAAAACCAUGAAAAAUAUGCCAAGUUGUGACUUGUGAGUCUAAAGACCGGAAUGGGGUAAUUCCUUGAAGGACUACUACUCUUAAUAUAUUUAUUAGUCAAUAUAUGACAUCAAAUUCAUUGACUAGAUUAACUACUUAAUUAAGUAAUUGACUAACGAAUUAAAACUAUAUGACAUCUAAGCGAUUUCAUAUUUUUGGGCGCUGGUACACCAUUCAUUUCAUGAAGUUCACAAUUCUUCAUUUUUUUUGGGUCUCUGUUUAGAUAUUGACAAAUCUUGUGAGAUGAAUGCUCACAAUCUGAGCCCUUCAAAAUCUUUCUUGCUUACCUAUGUUAGGAACUCUAUUACAUAAUUGUCUCGAAUAAAUAUGGCUAUCUGUCUUUAUAGAGUAAGCGUGUCGGUAAAAUUGAAGCCAAAAUAUAAGUAGCAAAAAGAUUGAAGCUGGAAAUUAUAUAUGCAUUUCACGUAAUGAAAGCCUUUGCAUCAUUUGCUUCUGAGUCAUUUGGCAGAAGGUUGAUGAUUAUAUAUGCAAAUAAAAAUGGGCAAGAAGUUCCAGCUUUCUAGGUACCAAAAUAUCAUGAAAAAUAAUAGAUUCAUUCAAAACAAUCAGUUACAAACAAAACCCACAAAAGAAAAGGAAAAAAAAAAAAAAAAGAGCUAACAAAUACAUUUUUAAAUCACAGAAAUUACUCUGAAACUUCGACAAUUUUGUACUUAUCUAAUGAAAACGAAAACAUAACUAGGUUCAAAUUGAUGUAGAAGGAUUUAUAGUAGUAAACAAACUUAUUCUUCAUGCAAAUUAAUGAUAAAUCUUGAUAAUGUACUUUGACUUCGAAACAUCACGACAUUGGACAUGAUUCUUGAAAAGAUUAUCUUUUCUACUUCUGACAUUAUGCCAUCUUUAGGAUUUUUACACUUUUUUUGGAUUUAAAUUUUAUUUUUUUAAAAAAAAUAACUGCUGACCUCCAUCUUAAGGAACACCCGCUGAGUACUUGUUAGACAAACCCAUGUAAAAAUCAGGAAUCAACUCAUAAAUUUUAGUCUAUCUGAUAUUUUACUGGUGUGACAAAUGUGCCACAGACUAUUACUUCAGGGUACUUAAGUGUCAAAGUCAAUAGUUUAGGGUACAAAUAGAAAAGCCAUACUAUUUUAUGGGUGCAAAUUGCAAUUAAUUCUCAUUUUCUUAAUCCAAUCAUACUGUCGGAUAGGUCAUCCUACUCCGAGAUUUUUGCCACUAAGAUAAUUAAUUAAAAUGCAUAAUUCCUAUCAUAAAUUUCAUUGAAGGCGUGAAGGGCAAUUGGAAUGUCACUUCAAGAAAAUAUUGCAUAUGAAAUGCAAAAGGGCAAUUGGAAUGUCAUUUUCCUAUAUAUAUUUUUCACGGAAACUUGAGUGGAAGCUACUAAUGGAAUCUAUUAGAAUUCUAGACCGGUAAGAAUGUUGAAUCAUUUAUUAAUUCCGGAUUAGUUUCUUAAUCUGGCUAUAGUUAAUUAAUAGUAGAGUGACAAGUGUUCCGUGACCAUGAGUUCAUAUUCUACCAUACAUAACCCACCAACCUGCAAUAACAUAAGAUCUAGUUUUCACAUCUAGUUUUCACUUUUCACUAAUUAAUGAUUUUACAAGUUAAAAGAAAAGUAGCCAAAGGGAUAGUUUAACUUCUCCAUGGUCGAAAAGGCAAUUUUUUGAGUAAGUGUUGUAUGUUGUGAUAGGUACAGACUAAUUACUUUAGAUUUUGCAAAUCUUGGAAGCGCCCCACUAAUUAUUGGUCCUAAGCAUGCAAGAGAGGGUAUAGCCAAAUGCUGUUGAGUUGAUGUGAAAUUGAUCCGUGCCAAUAAGAUAGCACAUGAAUUAACUUUUCACGCUAAAUCUUCACAUCUUGUGGAAUCCCUAUGGAAUUUCUCCCUCAACUUUGUUGAGUAAUUUAGUGUUGGACGAUUUUCAACAAUUUAGUUAAUAACAUUUUCUUUUUUUUUUGUAUAAAAAUAAACUUGUGUCAAAGUUUUCUUAUUAUGCCAAAUCAAAAUAACUCAUAUGUAAACUAUUGAGUGUGAGGAGUUGUUAGAAGUUGAGCAAGGUUUGAAAUGACUAAUUAUCUCCGUUCUUCCUUUCAAUCGCUCAAUCGGGUUGUACCCUAGAGAAUUAUAGGGGUUUUACACUUUUUUUUUUCUCCAAUUUGGAGGUUGACUAAAAAUAAUCCUAUAGGUUGCUAUACAGAAUAGUUAUUCAACUUAUUUGAUGAGACUUAGCCGUCGUAAAUAAUUCAAGUUCUUUAAUGGUGUAGGUUCGUUGUCUUUUAUUUUAACUCAGAACUUCUUGUAUCUCGCCAAAAUCUUCAACGUAGAUUAGUGCAAAAUCACUACUACAAAGGGUGCUGCUGGGGAGAGGGGAGCAGGGGGAGUUUUGAUAUAAACUGGUCAAAAGUUUUAUUUAUUUCUUUUUGACGUAAUACAUAAGUCAGGAGCCUAAGUUGUCGGGUCAAUGCUGAAGUCCAUUUGUGCUCUAAAAUCAAUGGAAAGUUGCAGAAAAAAAGUAUGCUGUAUGGGAAAAAUGGAUGCAACUUGGAAUGGUUAUUCAAUUUAAAACUAUUUUCUACAAUAUAAAGGAGGUUAUUAAAAUCAUUGCAUCACAACAACCAAAAAAAACGGGGGAGAAGGAAUAUUAUGAAAUGAUGAUAAUCCAAGGAAGAUAUCUGGAUUAAAGUCUUCCAUUGAAACCGAAAAACUAAUUUACAAAAAAUAAUUGAUGGACUGGUUUCCGGUCACCUUUUCCAGGCCCUAUAUUAGAGCCCAACGAAAUGCGUCCAUAAUUUAAUUGAUUCAGGUGUCAAAAGUCCAACUCAAUUUCAUUUCUCUAGCCCUUCACUAACCCAAUAAACCGGCCCAAUAUUUAGUUUUUCUCUAAAAUGCCCAUGGGUUUAUAAAAAUUGCAAUAUCACCCGCAAACUUUGCUGUCCAUGGCGAUGGCCAGACCCUUCAUCUUCAAAGCCUGUCUCCUUUCCGCCGAAACUCCGAACCUCUUGAAGAAGAAUCGCAUGGACCCGAAGCCCUUUUCAGAAAAAGACCAGUUUUUUUCAGCAAAAGCCGAAAAGGUCACCACCAAUGGUGCAGCGAACAUAAGCCUUCAAGAAUGGCAGGGCUGGGGCGCCAUCUCACCUGUACCUGCCAUGGUUAUUGAAGUCAUUCAGGACUUGAAGCUUCUGGAGAAAGAUAUUGGAGCUCAUUUGGAUUUUGGUGGCAAUCAUGGCAAACUCCAAGUAAGAACAAUUUUCUCUUUCUUUAUUGAUUAAUCCCCCAACUCUCCUCCAAGAACAGUGGAAAAAAGAAAAGAAUUGAACUACCAAAAGUAAGAAUAUUCUGUGUAAUAUGUGUUUAAAUUAGAUGAUGAGAUGCAUAAAGUUUUUAACUUUUUAUUUGACUGUUUUCUUGAUAGACAAAUUGAUGGGUGAUGACUUGUUUAGAAGCUUUACUGAUUUUACCUUGGGAUUUUUGUAUUUUGUUUAUUAUUUAUUUAUUUAUUAUUAUUAUUAUUAUUAUUGGUUUCUGAAGGGCUGAAAACAUCAACUGUGAUCAAUUGAUGUUAUGUUAAGGAAAUUGUAAGUGGUAAUGUGAAUGUAAACAUGAGAAUAGAAUUGUCAUGUUUACUACUACAUGCAACAGGUUCGAGGCUAUGUUUGGCUUUCAGCUCAUGUGACCUGUUGGAUGGUCAUAGGUAUCUUAUUUGAUCAAUGCAAAGCGUUGUGCAUUAAAAAUCAAUCAUGGUAUUAAUGGAUGAGAUUUUGAUUCAGGUGAUGCUUUUGUUGGUCGAAGGUAUUAAUAUGAUCUGUGCAUGACGUCAUCCAGAAUUUUUUGUGUGUAAUUUAUCACUCUGAAACUGAACUGUCUUGUUAGGCAUGUUGCUUUUACUGCUUCCUGUAGAUUAUUUAUGUAAAAUGCCUCUUUCUAGGACUCUCUUAUGUUAAUACAGACGAUGAUUGCUCAUUUAUGACACGUACUAACAAGCACAUGAAACAGGUGGUUUACUUUUACGGCUGCCACUAGAUUAACAAUUUUAACAUUUCCUUAGAUUGGUUAUGGAAAUUAGCGAGGCCAUACAAUCAUUUUCUGUAGAGUUUGUUGAUAUAUAUCCCUUAAUGUGAAGUUUCUAACGGAGUACUGAAAUUAGUGAGUACCAACUGUCCAGUUCAGUUUUGAAUGUCCUCAGAUGAGUACAUAUGUAUUUAAUUGAUAAGAGCUCCUAGUAUGCAAGUCACUUGGAAGGUGAUACCAAUGUAGACAGUUAAGUAAUCAAAUAUUCCCAAGAUUGGAUGUAGAGAUCAGAUGUAGUUCAAGUAUAUACUGGUCUGAGAUAACCUUUAGACAGGGUAUUGCUAGAGUCUUGCAUUCUAUUAUAGAUUCAGGGGUGCUUUUAGGUGGUUAAACUAUUGAAGUAAAUGAAAGUGUGUUUUACCAUGUCUUUUAUUUGUUUUUUGUUAAAUGUAUUCCCCUUUUCACUAUGCAGAAUGAUAGCCUUCUCUUCUCUAUCAGUCUCUCUCUCUAUCUCAUUUUCUGUGUGUGUUUGCAAUAUUUUUGGAUGUGUACUUAAUGACAUAGAUAGCAACCGUCAUAUCACAAUGUUUCUAUGGUAAGGAGUUACAAUUAGGUUUUGUAUUGUUUAUGUUGUUUGCUCUAUUUGAUAUUUCUUUUUUUCUGUCAUUUUCAGUGGUUAAUCAAUACUUUUUCUGCUGAAUAAUGUUGUACAUAUUGUAGCUGCUGUGGAGUGAUUAUAUAAUUUAACAGAAUGGUUUGUUAAUUUAGCUGAUAAUCCAUUUGGAAAUUGAAAAAUGUAACGACAAUAAGGGAACAAGUUCAUGACCUGCUAGAUUCUAUCCCACAUCGACGCUAUCAGUGCCUCCAAUUCAGUAUACAAAGUUCAUUUCCUUAUCCCACGAUCGCCGAGCUCAGUAACGUGGGCUUUCACCCAAGUGGGGGGCAAGGGCAUGGACUCGGUUGCUGGCAGCACAAAAAAAUUCCACAUUCCACAUUCCACGAUUUUAAAAAAAAAAUCAAUGAAUUAAAAAAAGGUUGCAGCAACUGGGACCAUUCCCUUUUCUUCAUUUUUCGUCUUUAAGCCACAAAUAAACUACAGAAAUUUAGCUAGCUAGAUUUGCAAUGUUUUUGUAUGUGUACAUAAUCCCAUAGAUAGCAAGCGUCAUAUCAAAAUGUUUAUAUCGUAAGGGGUUACGAUUAGGUUUCUUAAUGUUUAUAUUGUCUGCUCUGUUUGAUAUUUCUUUUUUCUAUCAUUUUCAGUAGUUAAUCAAUACUCUUUCUAUUGAAUAAUAUUGUACAUGUUCUAGCUGCUGUGGAGUGAUUGUCUAACUUAACAGAAUGGUUUGUUAAUUUAGUUGAUAAUCCUUUUUGGAAAUUGAAAAAUGUAAUGACAAUAACGGAAGUAGUUCAUGACUUGCUAGAUUCUAUCCCACAUCGACAUCAUCAGUGGCUCCCAUUUGGUAUAUAAAGUUCAUUUCCUUAUCCUACGAAUGCUAGGCUCGGUAAUGUGGGUUUGUACCCCAAGUGGUGGCAUUAAGGGUAUGGAAUCAGUUGCUUGCAACCCAAAAAAAUUCCACAUUCCACUAUCUAAAAAAUAGACAUGAAUGAAUUCAAAAAUGUUGCAGCUGGUUGGACCAUUACCUUUUCUUCAUUUUUGCUGUUUAAGGCACAAUGAAACUGUAGAAAUUUAGCUAGCUAGCAUUUGCAAUAUUUUUGUAUGUGUUCAUAAUCCUGUAGAUAGCAAGCAGGUUCAUUUUUCCUGUUUAAGGCGCUAUGAAACUAUAGAAAUUUUGCUAGCUAGUGUUUGCAAUAUUUUGUUAUGUAUGCAUAAUCCCAUAGAUAGUAAGCAGGUGUCAUAUCACAAUGUUUAUAUGGUAAGGGGUUACGAUUGGGUUUCUUAUUGCACAUGUUGCCUGCUCUGCUUGAUAUUUCUUUUUUUCUGUCAUUUUCAGUGGUUAAUCAAUCCUUUUUCUGCAGAAUAAUGUUGUACAUAUUGUAGCUGCUGUGGUGUGAUUAUAUAAUUUAGCAGAAUGGUUUGUUAAUUUAGCUGAUAAUCCUUUUUGGAAAUUGAAAAAUGUAACAACAAUAAGGGAACUUGUUCAUGACGUGCUAGAUUCUAUCCCACAUCGACACUAUCAGUGCCUCCAAUUCAGUAUAUAAAUUUCAUUUCCUUAUCCCACGAUCGCCGAGCUCGGUAACGUGGGCUUUCACCCAAGUGGGGGGCAGGGGCAUGGUCUCGGUUGCUGGCAGCACAAAAAAUUCCACAUUCCACAUUCCACGAUCUAAAAAAUAAAAAUCAAUGAAUUAAAAAAAAACAUUGCAGCAACUGGGACCAUUCCCUUUUCUUCAUUUUUCCUGUGUAAGCCACCAAUAAACUAUAGAAAUUUAGCUAGCUAGCGUUUGAAAUAUUUUUGUAGGUGUGCAUAAUCCCAUAGAUAGCAAGCGUCAUAUCAAAAUGUUUAUAUGGUAAGGGGUUACGAUUAGGUUUCUUGUUGUUUAUAUUGUCUGCUCUGUUUGAUAUUUCUUUUUUCUAUCAUUUUUAGUGGUUAAUCAAUACUUUUUCUGUUGAAUAAUGUUGUAUGUGUUGUAGCUGCUGUGGGGUGAUUGUCUAACUUAAUAGAAUGGUUUGUUAAUUCAGCUGAUAAUCCUUUUCGGAAAUUGAAAAAUGUAAUGACAAUAACGGAAGUAGUUCAUGACUUGCUAGAUUCUAUCCCACAUCGACAUCAUCAGUGGCUCCAAUUUGGUAUAUAAAGUUCAUUUCCUUAUCCUACGAAUGCUAGGCUCGGUAAUGUGGGUUUGUACCCCAAGUGGGGGCAUUAAGGGUAUGGAAUCAAUUGCUUGCAACCCAAAAAAAUUCCACAUUCCACUAUCUGAAAAAUAGAAAUGAAUGAAUUCAAAAAUGUUGCAGCUGGUUGGACCAUUACCUCCUUCAUUUUUGCUGUUUAAGGCACAAUGAAACUGUAGAAAUUUAGCUAGCUAGCGUUUGCAAUGUUUUUGUAUGUGUACAUAAUCCCAUAGAUAGCAAGCAGGUUCAUUUUUCCUAUUUAAGCCUAUUUAAGCCACAAGGAAACUACAGAAAUUUGGCUAGCUAGUGUUUGCAAUAUUUUUGUAUGUAUACAUAAUCCCAUAGAUAGUAAGCAGGCGUCAUAUCACAAUGUUUAUAAGGUAAAGGGUUAUGAUUAGGUUUCUUAUUGUUUAUGUUGUCUGCUUUGUUUGAUAUUUCUUUUUUUUCUGUCAUAUUCGGUGGUUAAUCAAUACUUUUUCUGCUGAAUAAUGUUGUACAUAUUGUAGCUGCUGUGGAGUGAUUAUAUAAUUUACCAGAAUGGUUUGUUAAUUUAGCUGAUAAUCCAUUUUGGAAAUUGAAAAAUGUAACGACAAUAAGGGAACUAGUUCAUGACCUGCUAGAUUCUAUCCCACAUCGACGCAACCAGUGCCUCCAAUUCAGUAUAUAAAGUUCAUUUCCUUAUCCCACGAUCGCCGAGCUCGGCAAUGUGAGCUUUCACCCAAGUGGGGGGCAAGGGCAUGGACUCAGUUGCUGGCAGCCCAAAAAAAUUCCACAUUCGACGUUCCACGAUUUAAAAAAUAAAAAUCAAUGAAUUAAAAAAACGUUGCAGCAACUGGGACCAUUCCCUUUUCUUCAUUUUUCCUGUUUAAGCCACAAUUAAACUAUAGAAAUUUAGCUAGCUUGCGCUUGCAAUAUUUUUGUAUGUGUACAUAAUCCUAUAGAUAGCAAGAGUCAUAUCACAAUGUUUAUAUGGUAAGGGGUUACAAUUAGGUUUCUUAUUGUUUGUAUUGUCUGCUCUGUCUGAUAUUUCUUUUUUUAAUCAUUUUCAGUAGUUAAUCAAUACUUUUUCUGUUGAAUAAUGUUGUACGUGUUGUAGCUGCUGUGGAGUGAUUGUCUAACUUGACAGAAUGGUUUGUUAAUUUAGCUGAUAAUCCUUUUUCGAAAUUAAAAAAUGUAAUGACAAUAACGGAAGUGGUUCAUGACUUGCUAGAUUCUAUCCCACAUCGGCAUCAUCAGUGGCUCCAAUUUGGUAUUUAAAGUUCAUUUCCUUAUCCUUCAAUCGCCGGGCUCAGUAACGUGGGCUUGUCACCUGAGUGGGGGCAUUAAGGGUAUGGAAUCAGUUGCUUGCAACCCAAAAAAAUUCCACAUUCCACUAUCGAAAAAUAGAAAUGAAUGAAUUCAAAAAUGUUGCGGCAACUGGGACCAUUCCCUUUUCUUCAUUUUUCCUGUUUAAGCCAGAAUGAAACUAUAGAAAUUUAGCUAGCUAGCGUUUGCAAUAUUUUUGUACGUGCUCAUAGUCCAAUAGAUAGCAAGCAGGUUCAUUUUUCCUGUUUAAGCUACAAUGAAACUAUAGAAAUUUAGCUAGCUAGUGUUUGCAAUAUUUUGGUAUGUAUGCAUAAUCCCAUAGAUAGUAAGCAGGUGUCAUAUCACAAUGUUUAUAUGGUAAGGGGUUACGAUUGGGUUCUUAUUGCACAUGUUGUCUGCUCUGCUUGAUAUUUCUUUUUUUCUGUCAUUUUCAGUGGAAUCAACACUUUUUUUGUUGAAUAAUAUUGUCAUAUUGUAGCUGCUGUGGAGUGAUUAUAUAAUUUACCAGAAUGGUUUGUUAAUUUAGCUGAUAAUCCUUUUUGGAAAUUGAAAAAUGUGACAACAAUUAGGGAACUAGUUCAUGACUUGCUAGAUUCUAUCCCACAUCAACGCUAUCAGUGCCUCCAAUUCAGUAUAUAAAGUUCAUUUCCUUAUCCCAUGAUCGCCGAGCUCGAUAACGUGGGCUUUCACCCAAGUGGGGGGCAAGGGCAUGGACUUGGUUGCUGGCAGCCCAAAAAAAUUCCACAUUCCACUAUGUAAAAAAUAGAAACGAUGAAUUAAAAAAAUGUUGCCGCAACUGGGACCAUUCCCUUUUCUUCGUUUUUCCUGUUUAAGCAUAAAAAAAACUAUAGAAAUUUAGCUAGCUGGCAUUUGCAAUAUUUUUGUAUGUGUACAUGAUCACAUAGAUAGCAAGCCGGUGUCAUAUCACAAUGUUUAUAUGGUAUGGGGUUGCGAUUAGGUUUCUUAUUGUUUGUGUUGUCUGCUCUGUUUGAUAUUUAUUGAUUUUUUCUAUCAUUUUAAGUGGUUAAUCAAUACUUUUUCUGUUGAAUAAUGUUGUAUGUACAUGUUGUAGCUGCUGUGAAGUGAUUAUCUAAUCUAACAGAAUGGUUGUUAAUUUAGCUGAUAAUCCUUUUUGGAAAUUGAAAAAUGUAAUGACAAUAACAGAAGCAAUUCAUGACCUGCUAGAUUCUAUCCCAUAUCGACAUUAUCAAUGCCUCCAAUUCAGUAUAUAAAAUUCAUUUCCUUAACCUACGAUCGCCGGGCUUGGUAAUGUGGGCUUGUCACCUGAGUGGGGGCAUUAAGGGUAUGGAAUCAGUUGCUUGCAACCCAAAAAACUCCACAUUCCACUAUCUAAAAAAUAGAAAUGAAUAAAUCAAAAAUUGUUGCAGCAACUGGGACCAUUCCCUUUUCCUCAUUUUUCCUUUUUAAGUCUCAAAGAAGCUAUUGAAAUUUAGCUAGCUAGCUGAGAAGUGUUUUGGGAAAUCCUAGCUCCAUUCUGUUGUUUUAAUUGCUAUUAGGGGCAAUCCCCUAAUUUGUUUCUUUCUGAUCCUAGUGGUUGAUAUGCUCAUCUUCAGGGAGAUUUUAAAGUGCAAGAGGAUAAAAAGCAUAGGGCAAAGUUUCAAUCUUUAGGAAAUUCUGAGAAGAAGCUCCAAUUCUUUUCAGCUCGUCAAAUAGCAUGCCGCUUACUCGGUAGUAGAGGAUAUCUCUGUCAGAAGGUACAUCUGUUAUUUCUUUUUUCUCAUAGUGAUGGUAAGUUGGAGAACCAACUAUUGUCUCGGUGUUCCUUCCCAUAACCCGUAAAUUGUCUCUGCAUUUCAUCUGUGCUCAGUUGCAAAUUCAGUCUUUUCCUGUCUGUCUAAUUGCUUAGUGCUGGCUUCCCAUGGAAGAUUGCAUGUGUUCAAGACUUCUGCCUUUUCCCCUUUGGCAUCGGAUACGUUUUUGGUUGUAUAUGCAUCCAAAGGUUCAUGUUCUUCUCGUUUUCAUUUUCUUUCCCUAGUUACAUAUAUGCAUUACAUGAGGAUCAGCUAAGGACUUUAUUGUUCUUCUGUAGGAUUUUUUACGACAGAACAACACGGGAAAGUUGUUAUGUCAAGUGUUUGGCACCCAUGCUGCAACUUUGUGUCUCUUUGGCAUUUCUGAACUUGAAGAAAUCAUGUGGAGUGCAUUGAACUUUUCAGGUUAAAUCAUGGUUUAAUUGGUAAUAUUUUGAAGAUGCAUCUCCUCGUCUUUGAUUCACUAUGUUGUACUAGCAUUAGAUCUGUAAGGCAUGAGUGUCAAAGCCAUGACUAUUUAAAUGCACAAUGGUCUUUGUAGUUCAUUUUUUGACUUCGUAGUUUGCUCUACAUGUUCGACUUCCUACUGCAAACACUUCACAUUGUUGAAACUGCUUGAUUUCUUCUGCAUGCAACUGACAAUCUCUGAAAACUUUCUUUUCCCAAUAAUUAUUGUAAGGCUCACCUUUGUUUACAAUCAUAAUAGACCUUGUAUUUUCUGAUUCCACUCCCUUGAGCCUCAAUUAAUUUUUACCUCCUUAAAAAAAUAAAUUAGCAAAGAGUUUGUGGCAAAAUUUGUUGCUAUAAAAGUUUGACAGCUAAAGUUGCUUUGUGAAAAACCUAUAGGAAUAAUCAACUAAGUGGAGCCUCAGAUGAGCAACAGAAAGAGGAACAGAUUAUUAAUUAAAUAAUUUAUUAUGCAUGCCUACUGGGUAGUAUACAACUCUGGGAUAUUUGAGGGAAAAUUGGAAUUCCAUCCUUUUUUUUUAACUCAAUUAACUUGAGAAGUUGAGUCUAAUUAACUCGUAUAGAUCACGCAGCUGAUUGUAACAAAUUGAGUUUGAGAAGGUAUGCACAGUAUUCUGAUGGAACAUCGGUUACUUUCUCUGUAAUCUGAGAUACCAUUUCCCAAUUUGAAAGGAUUACAUCCUUACUUCUGCAGAAGGGAAUAUAUAUUUAGUGAUAAUUGGGAUUCAUUUCGUAUAAAACUAACUGGUUGAAUUUGAUCUCUUUAACGUAAUUGAAUAAGGUGUAAAAGACGGAGAUCUGGAGAUGAAAUCUUGCUACAAUUAAAAUUGUUAUGCCAUGUUUUUGACUUUCUAAUAUAACCUAGAAUUACGUCAAAGCUAUGUGGGACUAAGGUCUUGGCCAAUUUAAUGGAUUAUUUAGGUAUGAGAAAUAGACUUAGCUAAAACAACUACAGUAUAUGAAAUAGCCUAUUAUGCUGUUUUUCGCAUUAUUAUUUGUUAUGAAUAAUGCCAGUUUUUGAGGUUAAUGCAUAUCCAUGUUUAGUUUCAUGUUCAUUUGCUACUUUAAGACUUUAAAGUUUAUGCCUGUGAGUUUCUGAAGUGCGUUGUGUAUUCUUCAGGGAGAAGAAAUGUUUGGUGUCUCUACCCUAAUAAGAAUGCUAUGCCGAUGUCUGUUCAGGACACAUUCAUUCAAAAUUCCUCCAGGGAUCAUCAGUCUGAACAGAAUUCGGUAAUCCUUCUCUAGUCGCAUGAAUACAGAAUAAGAGUGAAUUUCUUGUAUUUUUUUUGGUUGUCAAAUCUUGAUUGGUUCAAAACAUAGUAGAACCUUCAUUAAGUUUGCGAUCUACUAAUUAACAAAUUAAGUUUGUGAUCUUUAGUUUUAAGAUUGCAUUUAACAUGGUAUGUUCUUCUUCUCCACAAAAUGCAUCAAAAAAAAAAACAAAUUGAAAUGAUUUUCAGCUCAAGUCUCAGGCUUAAGGUUGAUUGAUUAAGCCUCUGGACAAAAAAAUCAUUUCUCAUAUUCCUCAUAUGAAACAUGUUAUCCUUGUUCUCAAUCAUUUCCUGCUUUAAAAAAAAAUUAAUUUAUGAGUUUUGUAUCAUUGUAAUUUUUUUUUUCUGGUCCUUUGCUGAUUUGAUGCACAUAAAUAGAAAUUUGGUGCUGAACAAAAAUUGUUCUAGCUGACUGUGCAAGUUGGAAUGUGAAAGUUUUAUGUGACUCUAGGUUUGGAACUGCAUAGGUGCAUGAAGUACAGUAUUGUGUAAUUAGUUGGUUACAUUAGCUCAUUGAAGCAAUUUAAACUUUUGGAGAGGAGAAUAAAUUGAUUUAUCUUAAGAAAUUUGAUGUUGAUGAACAAAAGAUGAUUUUACAGUAAAUGGUGGUCUACUUCAUGAAUACUACAUGUUAUUCAAUUUAACUGUUUACUAUACUUGCAACCUUGAAUUCAACUGAAUAUUUUCAUGAAAUUUUCUGAAGCUACAGAAGUGCUCAAUAUCAAGAAUCUUCGAACCGAGUACAUUUUUUAGAGUCCUUGUCGGUAAAUGUUCUGUUUGUUUAGGAUAUACCUAUCGUAAGUGUCACAUGAGAUAAUAACAUCAUAAACUUAAGAAAAUAUGCUCAAGUUAUAUCAGAAAAUUAUAACAUUAUAAGAGAAGGCGACAUCUUGACACAAUGCUCUGUAAUAGUGUACUGUUUUGGCAUUGUAAACAGUUAUUUGAUUUAGGCUCUGAAGUUUUCAAUUGUAGUUAUCCCAUAGAGUUAGUAAAAAUUUUACAUGAUGAUAGGAAGGGAACUCCCGAGAACUCAUAUGUAUAUUUACUGGGUUCUUCCCUACUUUUGAAUUAUAUUAAAGCUUACCAUUUCCCCAAAAAAAAGUUAUGUGAUUUAAACUCUCGCAAAUGGAUUAUGGAUGCCUAUCUUUUUGAGGUUUUACGCAUCUUUGGUCAUAGGGAGGAGAUGGAGAGGAUUAAUUGAGUGCUACAUUCUGUUUCUGUUGGAUUAGCACGAAAUUUAGAUAUAAAGAAGCAUGAAUAUCAUUCAGGGCUGACGUCCUCAAAUUUGUCGAAUUAGUUGAGCCGACAGAAUUAAGUAAUGCAGUAUAUGUGCAAGAUAUUCAGAUUUCCACAUUGGAGCUUGGUAUUUGAUCAGUCCCCUAAUUUUAGUUCAUGGUUUAAUUCCAAAAGAUUCAAUUUUCUAUUCCUCAAAAAAUGGAGUGUCAAGCCCUGACUAGUUUGGGUGGACAAAAGUGGAUUGGUAAGUUGAAGAUUCUACUUAUAUGUGUCUAUGAAUUCCUGCCCUCACACGCAUUGAAUGCUUAUAGCCCCUUUAUCUGUGUGUUCAGGUAGCUUAAACUUUAGCCCAUACAAAGAAGGCUGGCUUUGUUUAAAAACGUUAAUCUUCAAUUCUUCUGACUCUUCUAGGAUAUUGAUUUGAAGGUUGUGUGACUAUGCAGGUACUUGGAGAUGAAAGAAUGAAUUUUAUUUUGAUUGAUGGUACAUGGAGCAAUUCCCAAGCAAUGUUCAAGCGUUUAAAGGUAAACCAGAAAUACAAUUGGGAUCUGACCUCCUUUUAUUUUCUAUUACACGUCCAUGGGGCUAUGACUAAGCAUUCUUGUCUCAGAUGGGAGACAAGAAAAAGGAAAAGAGGAAAGAAAUCUAGUGGAGCAACCACAAGUUCAUUGUCUUGUAGGUUAUAUAUUUUUCUUGAGUUAAGUUAUACAGAUAUAAGCAUUUGCGUUUUCACUUUGAAAUGGAAAGGUUCCUAGUAAAUAGUUCAUUUACAACAACAGUAAGAAUUAAACGCUUUGACAUCUGGAAGUGCCCUGAAACUCUUCUGCAAUAUGUAGUUUUGAAAUCCCAUCAUUCCUUUGGUGGACAUAAAUGGAUAGAGGUUAUGAAUUACCUUCUAAGUAAGCAAAUUUGUUUCCUGUUACACCAGUCAAGUUAUAAAUACGACGCAAGCAAGUACACAUGAAAUGUUGAAUCUUACAAGAAAGAAAAGUAGUUCUUCUCUGAAUGAAUUAGUUACAAGUUUUUGUCAUGCUUCUCUUCAAUACAUAUAUAUCUUCAUUUUUGUUGUGGAUAUACUUUGUGGAUUUUGUAGAUUGUAUCACACUCGACUGGCUUCGCUUGUUUGUUUUGUAAUACCCAAUGUAUAUUUACGAAUCUGACUCUUGUUUUCAAGUUAUUGACACAUGCGGUAUUUGAACUAUGCCUAAGAGUGUUUAUGGGUAUCAAAUAUCAGACACAUCUCAAGCAAAAAAUCAGUUUGAGGAUUGUGUUUUUCCAAUUUCAUGCUGCAUUGCAAAAGAUGAGUGUCGUAUGGAUCAGUCUAGUGAUGUAAUAGUGUAUCCUACUCAACAUUUACCUUGAACAUUGAUGUGCAGGAUAAAGCACAGGUAGUUUGGGGAGAAGACCUUCCUUGCAUCUCUCUGAAUGCAGGGGUAUCUCUAAUGCACAAACUGAGGCAAGAUUCUUCAUGAAAAUGCUCAUCUCUUGAUAUAUUUGACUUGCAUGCUUUAAUAGUUUAUUCUUAUUUGCCAAUUUAAUGCCACCGCGAUUAAGGUUCAAUUUCUUUCUUUGUCUGAGAGCAGACCGCAACCCUCAUGGGACCGUACCUGCACAGCAGCAGCAGCAGUUGGUCUCCUUUAUGAGCUUCAUCUUGUUCCUGAGUUCAGCUCUCAUGGACUGGAUAGUCAGGCUGAAGCUAUCGAAGAUGCUUUAGAGAUUCUGUUUGAAUCACUUACAGCUCGAAGACUUCGUAUGGGGAGGUCCAUCAGCCGUAAGGAGAGACAUUACAGCAACCUCUGCUAGAAACAAGCAUUUCUUCCACAAUUUUGGCGGAGACUUUUUUCCUUCAAUUGAGGCAGCGCCUGCAUACUAACUGAUUAGGUUAGAAGAGGUGAGAUCCUUGCUAAUUUCUAGUAUUACAGAAAGGAAAUACAAAGUGACUGAGAUCAAAGAACUUUGGUGGCCGGGCUCUGAUUUUAUCAGACUAUACAGAUUCAGAUUUUUUUGCACAAUGUUUUGAUGCUGAAAUUUCAGACACGUUUUUGGACAUAUGCCAGAUGGUUGUGAUGCAAUGCUAAGUACCUGGACGCAAAGCGGAUGAUCGAAAAAAUACGGUAUUCGCUUUUCCCACAUUUUGAACUUGAAAGCAAGCUAUUUAUUAUGCUUUGAUGUCUUAAGAGGAACCAUUUUGCUUGUAUGUAUAAUGUAUUUCAAUUCUGAACUCACUGAUGUACGUUUUCGUGAUUAUAUCUCAAGAAUUUAGUUUCUUGAACUAGUCCUUUAUUUUGCUGUCCUGCUGCUCUUAGUCUUACGGAUUAAAAGACUGAUAGACAGAAUUAAUGUAUUAUUGGCUCUGAAUAAUAAAGUGAAGUUAAUUAUGGAGUUUGGGUUACAGAUGGAUGGAAGAAAUGGUGGCCUGUGUUUCCUUUCAUUAUCAAACUGUUUGUUAACAAGCGAGACAAAAUAGUUCAUGUAUGCUAAAAGUUCAGUGGAGUUUAUAUCCAAAUUUUGCCUAUGCAUUGGGGUAUCUUGUGAAGUUUGCCAGAUGUGCACCAAAAAGUGGUAAAAUGACAACAUAUAAAUGUCAAUUGAUACAAAAAUUUAGGAUCAAAUUAUGAUUAAUGGAUACUAAUACUAGUGUAGGGAUGAAUAAGGAAAUGAAAACUGUCCAAUAAUACAUGAUCAGUAUAAUGUUGUCCACUACUAUGUUUUUAGGAAAUUAAUCGAAGUUAUUUAUAAAAUUGGGAUGGUGUAUUAAUACAAACAAACUUCAUUACCAUGAAUAUCAUCUACCUUAAAACUUUCGCUAUGCAUUCGUCUAACAAUUCACCACCAUCACCUCUUAUUAACCUUGAAUUGCACCAUUAAUUUAUUUCAAUUUGAGGUUGAUUGGGAGAAGGGAUUGGUUAGCUCGUUCGAAAAGAAGGGAUCUAAGUGAAAGAUUGCGAAUUCAAGUCCUUCCACUUACACUAAAGAAAGAUAAAAUUGAGGAUAAUAAGCAUAAGAACGUAGAAGGAUAACAAAGUAUAUAAUAAAAGUUGAAAUUUUGUGAUGCAUUGGUACAAAUUUGUAUUAGCACAAGACUUGCAUAGAGUUUCGAAAUUAAACUUUCAAACUAAGGCUAAUGGGCAUAAGAUAAUUCUAAAAUAUGCCUAAUUUAUCAUCAAUCAUGCAUACUAAUAAUAAAAGAACUUGUAUAAAAUGUAUUGAAAUUAUAUAUUUAUGUGACACUACUAUAAGCUGUUUACCUAUAUAAGAAUUGCCGAAACGAAUAUCAAAUUGAGGUUAAAAAAUAUAUACAUAAUUUAUUGUAACUGAUGCAUAAAAGAGUGAUGCAAAAAUGGAUUGAAAAUAUUAUAAACUGGCACGAAAAUCAAAAUGUCAAUAUGAUCCUUGUUUAGAAGUUUUUCACCAAAUAAAGCAAAAGAGGGAUUCCCCACGUAUCCAACAACUAAUAUACUUCUUUGCUACUGCCAAACAAGGUUCCUCCUCCAUCCAUCCAUUCAUCCCCUUCCAUCCCUUCUCCGCUUCUCUCUCUUCCAUUUUCCUGCCAUUUUUUUACUUUCCACAAAAAUGACACCCCUACAGAUGCAGGCAGCUGCCACAUUCCAACAUUUUCUCGUCUCUUUCUUUUUCACCAUUUUCAUAACAAGACUGGACAAAACUGAUCAUUGAAAAGAAGAGAAACAAUGGGGUCUAAUCCAUCUCUAAUGUUGUUUCUCUUCUUUCUUCUUGUUGGAUUGGCCUCUUCAUCCUACAUUUCAAGUGAGAAUUGUUAUGGCAUUUAUGUGUACCAUGUUGAUUUUUUUUUUUCUAAUCUAAUUUCUGUUUAAUCUAUCUGAAACUUUCGUUCUAUGUUAGAUCAUGCAUUGGAGCCUAGCGGAUUGAGAGGUCGUACCCUUCUUCAAGCAAAAGCAUGUGAGAUUCUUUCUCUUCUUUAUUCAUUUUUGCGUCCUGGAUAUUGUUGGGAAUGAAGAAAUAAAUUAAGUUUCAAAAUCAUAUUCAUCUUUGCCACAAUUUCAUGGUUGUUCCUUGUGAGGGCAUCCUUGAUUAAAUUUUUUUUUUUUGACAUCUUAAAAUUUAGAUUUCUGAAUCCCAAAAUUAUUCCUUUGUUAUAUCCUUCUGAAUGUUAGUUAAAUCUACAGAAUUUCUUAGUCCUCCUAAAUUAUGAACAAUAAAGCUAAUACUCCGACAUGUUAUCCAUGGAUUUAGCUUCAAUCUUGCAUUUCUUUCACUUAGGUAAAUCAUUCCAACAAAUUAACUCAUAUGCUGCCUACAUUCUUUUCAUUAUUUAUGUUUAAAAGAAUCCAACUAGGUUUGGUUACAUGUGGAGAAACAAUUAAGUUUAUGUUAAAAAAAUUCAUAAUAUCAGAAAAAAAAAUUCAUAAGCAUAUGAAUGGAGUUAACUGCAUGAACAGAAAAAUUACCAUUUUAGUGAUCUAUCCAAGUUUCUUCGAGAUUGACAUAAUUCAAGUUGUUUUUCCGUGCCUAAAGAACCAUAGGUGGUCAUUUCUACAUGCCCUUAUCAGGAAAACAAAAGAGAAAAGGAAAGUUUAAUUUGAUAGAUAAGCCUUCCAUUCUACAAGAAUUAUUGAACACUGAAAAUUCUUGGAAAAUGUAUGCUAAAAGUUUCUGCAAUCGUGAAACUUUUCAGCUUGCCCUGUAAACUUUGAAGCUCAGAACUACACAAUCAUCACUAGCCAAUGCAAAGGGCCGAAUUACUCUCCAAAACUCUGCUGCGAUGCCUUCAAGGAAUUCGCCUGCCCUUUUGCUGAUCAAGUGAAUGACAUGAAAAACGAUUGUGCAUCAACCAUGUUCAGUUACAUUAACAUGUAUGGACAUUAUCCUCCUGGACUUUUUGCGAAUUUUUGCAAGGAUGGCGCCCAGGGCCUUGAAUGUGCAUCUGCAGAAGCAGAAAGUCCCAAGAAAAAUGGGGCGCUGAAAACUGCUCAAUCAACUGUGCUGGUGCUGGCAGCUGGUUUCUUGACGUUUUUGUUGAAUGCCUUCUAAAACUCAAGAACAGAAAUCGAAAAUGCGCACCUUCUAAUUACUAGUUCAGACAUUGAUAUCCUCCGAGUUUAUAUAUAAGUAAUAUUUAUCUUGAGAUUGUAACGUUUUUUGUGCUCUGAUCAUUCUCUUGGACAAUAUUGAGCCUAAUUCGUUCUGCUAGAAGCAUAUGGUUCUUCAGAUUUUUGAAUGACAUGCUAUUUUUGAUGCCUUAUGUGAUCUCUAAUGACAAACACAAAUUCUAGUGUUUUCUUUAAUAUUAAAUUAAUUAAACAAUUUAGUAGAUGAGGGACAGUGGUACAAUUAUAUUAUCAUUUCUCUCUUCUAAUAUCACUUUUUAAUUGUUUGUUGGAUCUAAAUGUUAUAAAAUAAUAAAUUUUAAGGGAGGUUAAUAUAAUUUUUAAAACUUGAAGGGAGGGCAGUGAAAUAGUCAAAAACCUCAAGGGAGGUUCCCUCUCUUUUGAACAAAACAAAAAUCUCAAGUUUUUCCUUUUUUUUCCUCUCUUGAACAAAACAAAAAUCAUCAAAAAAUUAAAAACUGUAUGUAGUCUUCAAGCUAAACAUACAAAGAUGAAAUUAAAAAUUUGGCUUCUCAUUUUUGCAUUGAGAUUAUAAUUCCCUCCCAGCCAAAAUCCUUUUUUUAAAAAAAAGAAAAUUUUAAGGCCGUCCAAAUAGCAUAAAAUUUAGAGCCGAUCGUCCCCGUCACAAUUCAUUCACCAGCAACUUGCGCCAGCCACCGCCGUUAUUAGUCACCGUCCCUCCAAUCACGUCAAGGAAGCAAACAAAAAUGUUACUAUAACCUAUUAUUUUCAAACUUCUUCUCCCACUUGAUUCUUGAUUUUUCUUUCUCUCUAUUUUUUUUUCCCUUUCGUGAUUAAAUUUCAUUAUGUAGUAAUUAUUACAGACAAUUAAAUAUUCGAGGAAUAUUGUUGCUCAAUGCAUUUACUUUAUUUGAUUGUGUAAUUCAUUAUAGGUUCUAUGUAUAUGUUUGUCGAUUUUAUAGUUGCAACUUCUUUUUUUUUUUCUUUUUUGUUUUAAGUGAAAAGUUUUGAUUUCAAACAUCUCAACUUAUCGUCUCUUUCGACUCAUUAUCUGACUCAAUUCUCCAUUUAUAUCAUGUUAAGGCCACUAUUGUAUAGGCUAUAUAUAACUUAUCAGUAGUUAUGAUUAAGUUCGGAACAUGAACAUAAUAUGUCAAGUUGUAAAACAAAAAUACUUGUCCAGUUGAAUUUCAGAGAAAAUUAAGUCUAAGGUGACAUUUGUUACAUAAAUAAAAAAUUUUGGCUUUACAGAAUUUAUUUCCACAAUAUCUAUAGCCAAAGAACAAGGAAAAAAACAAGUUGCAAUUGUAAUUUUAAUUAGUUAAUCCAAUUGGCUGAUCACGCACACAACAUAUGGCUCUUAAAUUUCCCAAACAUGAUGAUUUCUCCAACUAAUGCUACUUAUUGUAAUUCCUUCAGGGUGCAAGAGCAUGAGUGUUGCCUGUGUUGUUAGCUAUGCCAUCUUGAUCUAUUAGUAACAGAUAACAUGUUAUGCAGGUCAUUGAUGGUUUCUUGAUUCUUUUAGUACAUUGGUCGGACUAGGAAAAGGGAGAGGGAUUGAGAAGGUAUCAGACAGAAAAUCCCAGUAAAGCAAACAGCAAAAGUUCCUUAAAGCAACAUCAUUGCUCACAAAACAACAGCCAUGAAAGUUCAACCUCUGUCCCCCUAAACGAGGAAAAUGAAGACAUAAUGUGGACAACAAACAAAAUUACGCAUAUACUAUUGGCUGUGGCCAAUGCCAGUUAAAGAAUCGUGUCAGCGUAUCAUUGGUAGGUUCAAUAUAUAAUUUCUUGGAUGAAAGGUGUUUGGCGAAUAAAUUAUUUCACUGUUUUACCCAUCUUUCUGUCUCAUGAUUUCGAGUCAAGUUGAAAAUUUUGACAAAUUUGUGUGUGUGGUUGCACGUACAAUGACAGGUCUUUGUCUUUCUGACUCCCAACCAAGUCAUCUUGAAUAAUUUACCUAUGUUCCAUUCAACCUCAAUUGAUGCCAUUGAUCUCUUUCUUGAUUUUUUUGUUCAUGUUUUGGGCCUUUCCUUCGACCUAAGGUGCUUGGAUUUGUCGGUGUUUGGCGGAUAUUUUAGUGUAGCAUCAGAAAGUAUAUUAUAUGCCAGCUAUGGAUGUGCUAAUGAGGCUUCCCAAUUAGAGAUUCUUCAAAUUAAAUGCAAGUGUCUCACUUCUUUUAUCAUAGCUACAAUGACAGAUUAGUCAGAUUUUAAGUGCAUACUUGAUCAUAUGCCAAAAAUGAAGGGUGAUAUACCACCCUAACGUACUACAAUGACAGUUGGAAAGGUUUUCUGAAACAACAACACGAUAUAAUACUUUGAAUAAAUCUUAUAUACACUGAUAAUGUAUACACUAUCACGAUUGGAUACAUGAUAUAUAUGAAAAUUUUGAAUUUCAAUUCAAAUUUGAAUUAUGUGUCAUGCAUUCAACGGUGAAAGUGUAUAUACUAUCAGCGUGUAGAAAAUUAGUUCUACUACUUUUGUGAUGUACUAUAUGUGAAAUAAAAAAAUAAAUAAAAACAUAAAAGGUAAAUUAAAAAACGUAUAUAUGAUGCAAUCGAAUAAUGUCUUCUAAAUCAUAUGUAAUACAGGGGAAUUGGAGUCUGAAAUGAGAACAUAAUUGAAUUUGGAACAAUGAUACCACAGCCUUGAUUGUCGGUGUUCGGUGGAUAUUUUAGUGUAGCAUCAGAAAGUAUAUUAUAUGCCAGCUAUAGAUGUGCUCAUAAGGCUUGCCAAUUAGAGAUUCUUCAGAUUAAACGCAAGUGUCACACAUCUUUUAUCAUAGCUACAAUGACAGAUUAGUCAGAUUUUAAGUGCAUACUUAGUCAUAUGCCAAAAAUGAAGCGUGACAUAUCACCUAAUGUACUACAAUGACAGUAGAUAGUAUGUUUGGAAAGAGGAUUAUUUGGAAAAGUUUUUUGAAACAACAAUAUAAUAUUUUGAGUAAAUCUUAUAUACGCUAAUAGUGCGGACACUAUCAUGAUUGAAUACACUACAUAUAUAUAAAAAUUGAGUUUCAAAUUCAAAUUCAAAUUCAAAUUAUAUGUCUGACAUCCAAUAAUGAAAGUGUAUACACUAUCAGUGUAUAAAAGAUUAAUUCUACUACUUUUGUGAUAGUGUAUGUGAGAUAAAAAAAAUAAAUUAAAAAACGUGCAUAUGAUGCAAUCAAAUAAUGUCUUGUAAAUCAUCUGUAAUACAGGGGAUUUGGAGUCUGAAAUGAUAACAUAAUUGAAUUUGGAACAAUGAUACCACAGCCCUGAUUGCGGAAUAUGUUUGCUGCCUUUCCCAGAUGCUGAGAAUAUCCCCAUACAAGAAGACGAAAGGGCAUUCUACAGUUGCAUCCAAAUCUAAACAUGACUUUUGCAGAAAAGUGUGCGGGAACAGAUCUCAAACUACAUAUUCACCUGCAUAACAAGAUGGCGUAGGGCUUCUGCAAAAUGUUUUAUAUGUCAUAGUACAACUCAUCAUUAAUUUUUUUUAAAAUCAUAAUAAGUACGUCAAAUUAUUGUAGUCCAACGGUGUAUUAAGGUCAAUAAUCUCUGCUGAUUAAACAAAUAGUGAUGCAUCACCGUAAUCACAUUUAUAAUGCUAUCAUCCUGUCCACAUCCUGUCCAUAACCAUCAAACAUUUUUCCCCUAGGACAAGUCUAUUAAAUAAUAUUGAAUGUCCUGAGUAUUUGUACCGGUUGUUGAGCCAAUAAUUACUGCUAGAACUAGUAUAAACAGUAGUAUAAAAGUGCACAAAAUUGAAGAAAAGAGAAAGUAUAAAUGGGGCAAUAUUACUAAUAUUUCAAUCAAUUUGCCAGAACUAGCUGAUUACAAUACAAGCAGAGACAGCAAUAUCAUGAGAAAAGCCCACCAGUUGCAACAAAACCUUAACAAAGAAACCAUCAAUUUUUGUUUUCUUUUUCCUUCAUAGUCAGCCCCACCCAAAAAAAAAAAGGGAAGAGAAAGAAGAAACAGAGAGUUGUUCUGUUUUUCUUCCCAUUGUCUAUGCUGUGAUUCCGAAAAACAUCAUACUAAUACCCAUGGUUUUUCAAGAAUUCAAGUUAGAGAUGGAUUGGAAUCAGGGCUUCUUUUUAUCUGUGAGCAGUAACCAGAGUCUCUAUGAACCUCAACCCAUCAAACCUUGGCGCAAAUUUAUCUGAAGAAGUUGUUGUUUGUGAUGCAGAUUUCUUCUCUUUUUUCUUGCUCGAAACAUUAAGAUCCUGGCAAGAAUGAAUCAAUUCUUCGUCAGCUAAAAAAAUUUAAGCAAAUCAAGCAAAGUUAACGUUCAUUCAUUACAUAGAAGACUAUAUUCACCUCCUAACCUUGAAAAACUAGGGAGAAAAAACAGGAUAAACAAGUAAAAAGAGUCGACUUCCAACAAGAAAAAACGUGGGAUUUCACAAAGUCUUCUCAUCUCCUUAAUUUCCAAGAAAGAAGAUUUUCUUGUGCAAGAAUGAGAGGGACUCGAGUCACAUGGAAAACGAAAGUAUAGGAAAAAGAAAGAGUAGUAAAGGACUACCAUAUACCUCAUGAGGGAUGUUGGUCUUGGAUGAAGAGGAGGAAGAAACAGAGUAAGCUGAUGCAGAAGCUGCAGCCAUGGAAGCUGCUACAAUUCCUGAUUUCUUCAUGAUUUCUUGAUGGCGCAAAAAAAGAAAAUUAAGCCUGCAGGCUGCAGCUGGCUUUUUGAUUUGUAGGGUUGGAAAAUCAGAUUUUACUUUUUAUUUUCUUGGGAUUACUUCGGAGUAUGGAAAUUGGGAUGAGGGGAAUGGGGACAUGGGCCGCCAUUUAUAGUGGGAACUCGCAACUUGGAAGGGCGACUUGGUCCGCUUUUGGUCAGUGCUAGAAUUUGGACGCCGUAACCACAGCUGCUUGCCCCACACCCGGCACUUAAGAUUACUUUUCUAGCCUUGGACCAAUUUCCCACCUUUGUUUAACAUUUUUUGACGCGGGUUUAUAUUAGUUUGUAAUUUUUCCUUCCUUUUUUUUUAAGAAGGCAUGAGUAAAGAGGAUGACCAUAAGAUGUUUUUGCAAUAGAACUUUAGACAAAAAUAUGUAGUAUAUCAAUAUGCUUAGAUGUGAUAUUUUUCAUCUUAUUGAAAUAUAUUGAUCAGUGUGAUUUUUAUAAAAUUUAUUUAAUGUUGAAUCUGAUUUGAAUUAAAGUUCAUAUCUCUUUUUAAAGGUAAAAUAUUUAGAGUUUAUUCAAACAUAAAUAUUAACUGUAAUGUGCCUAUUUUGAACUCUCAUUUUCAUAUCUACAUGUAAUAAUUGCAAAGGCAUGUCACGAUAUUAUUUUUUAAAAAAUAAAUAGUAUUUCAGUAUAAAUUUGUAUCCGGUUAAUCAAAUCAAAAGUAGAAAAAAAAAACCUUUUUAAGGAAUUAAAUACUAAAAAAAUUGGCUACAUUCAUCAAGAUAUUAUUGCGCCAUGUUAAAUGAGGAUGAAGAAUAUAAAAGUACUAUAAGAGAUGGACUAAGGGAGAUUAAAAGAAAUUUAGCUUAAAAUAAAGAAAAAAAAAAAGAGUAAAAGUGAAAUGCUUCUCAUUUUCCUAGUUCUUUCUUCACUUGUUUUCCUUUCCAAGAUGUGAAAUCGGCCAAAGCAAAAUCCUCUUCUUGAAAGAGAACGAAAAAUCUCUUCUAGAAGCAUUUCUUGUUCUCGAAUAGGUGUAGUUUGGUAAACUCAACAUAGCACUCAUUCAUGUUUUCCCGCGGCAUCUCGGGAAUUGAUUUCUUCGAGACAACGGUUGUUGGAGGUCGGAGCGGAUUGGGAGAUCUUUUGAGUUUAUGCUCCAGUCAAUGAUUGCAACGUGUAUGGCUGGAGAUGAAGCGACGUCAGCCCCAACUCUGCUUCACUGGUUUUCUUAUGGCCUGGAAAUUUGAAGGCUUUAAGUGGAGGGUAAAAAGGAUCAUUUGAAAGUUAAAAAGGACUGGUUGGCAGUUGAUAUUCGGUUUUCCAUUUAUACCCUCAAUCAAUUCCAGCCAAACAAAAAAGUCAAUAGUGCAAGAUGAUUCAUAGCCCUGAAAAAUCAACAAAACCAAAAUUAAAGUGGUCGGUUUUAUCUGAUUUUCUUGUUUUAAUUAAAAAUAUUUCAACUUGUGUAUUGUUUAGUCAUCAUGGACAUGUAUAGGCCAAACACAAAGAGCUCGUGAUCCUAAAUUAGAAGUCAGAUAAUGAUUUGUAUAAUUAAUCGAAAAGCUAUUUCCAUGUCUAAAAAGUCAAAACGAUUUUUUUUUGUGUUUGACAUAUGCAUUUUGAUUUGAAUUUGAAAUCCGUUUAAUUUGAAAUAUAUUAAACGAGUUGGCCAAAAUCAUUGAGGCAAUGCUAGCUUCUGAUUAACUUGUAAAAAAAUCGUAGAGGAAAAUACAGAUUCUUUCUUUAUAGGUGGUUUCAAAAUUUUUAAUUAUAUGUCUCGUCUACUAAUUUUUUUUAAUAUAUCUCAUUAAAAGUUUUGAUAAGAAUAAGUAAGAAGUCAACGCUUGCCCAUGUUAAAAAUAGCCUGUCGUCUUUUAAUUGGUUAACAUAGAAUUUCUUGAUUGUAGCUUGCGUAAAAUAUCAGGAGAUGUCUAUCUUAUGUAUUCCUAGUACAUGUAACAGGUUGACCACAAAAGAAAAGUUGUUUGUAAUUCAUAAUUAAUAUUCAGAUCCCUAUUUAAACAACAAAGCAUGAGAAACACAAUUUAAUCCACGACCACUAGUCUUGAUGCCAUAGUAUCUCACUCAUUUUCAAUCAAAUUUUCUAUGCAAACAAAAAUUUUAAAAAUAAAAACACAUGACUUCUUUACAUUCAUGUAUUUCUUGGUUUCUUUUAAAGCUUAUGCAAUACUUUUCAUUUGAUUUUUGGAUAAUUGCAAAAACCUCCUCUAAGGUUUCUGACAGUUGCACUCACCUCUCUUGAGGCUUGAAAAAUAGCAUUAACCUCCCCUAUAAUGAAUUUGGAGCCUAUAGUUAACAUAAGAUAGGAUAAAUUUACUUCUGUACCCUAAGAGUUGAAGGUUGUUAGUAAACAAAUUUGGAGCAAAAAAAAAUUAGGGCAGUAAACAAGUCUAAGAUAACUAAUUAAACAAAAUUAACGGUUAUUUUUUAUUUUAUUAGGCACUGUAAGUGCACUUACAAAAUAGUGACAUUUUGAUACUCCAACAUGGUACUAUUUUGUGAUGGAUAACACUUAAGAGAACUAUGCAAAUCAUAUAUUUUCUACAUAGAAGAGAAGUAGAAGCAAGAAAAUGUAGGAGAAAGAAACGUCUAGGUAAAACUUCACAAAAGAAUAAGUUUUAGUGGGUUUGGUUGAAUUUAUUUUAUCUUAUGCAUUCAUGAAACAAAAGGAGAAAGAAAGAAGAAAUCAAGGCAAAUUUUGAGAAUUUUUCUGUUAAAAAUACGCGACAAUCAAAAGAUGAUAGGUAAGUAAUUCUUUAUCAUCUCAACUUAAUACACAAAGUUGUGGUGUUAGUUAUAGUAUGAUGAAAUUGCUAUGUCGAUUAUGAGAGAACAUAACUAUAUAUGAAAUAUAGUAAACAGUGUAAAAUCGAAAUACUAUAAAGUAUGACAAUAAGAAACUCUCUUAUAUUGAUCAAAGGUGAAUAUUCUUAGUUGAUUAACAGUUUCUUUAUAUGCUUUAGAACCUCAUAUUUCUGAACAUAUGUUUGUUGUUUCUUUCAUAUUUUACUACUACCCUUGUUCACUUUGCACAUAUAUCAUCUAAGUUUCAUUAAUUGUUUCCAUCUCUUAAUGUUUUUCAUUCUUUUACUUAUACUACCUCACAAGAGGCAAAAAGGGUAUAAAUGGAACACAAUUAUUAUCUCACUUCCCAAAAGACCUAUUUAAUGGUACUUUCUCUAACAUGGACUGAAGUUGCUAUCAAAAUCUUAAGUUCAGGAGAGUUUAGUGCUAUUUUUCAAACAUUAAGGGAGGUGAGUGCAACUGUCAAAAACCUCAGGAAGGUUUCUGCAAUUAUCCCAUGAUUUUUCAACAUUACUCUGUUGUAGUCUGACAUCUGAUAUUUUUCGACAAGACGGUUGGGGGUUGACUUAAGCAUGAACAUUUUAUCUGUUGGGGUCCCCUUUGGUUUUUUUUUUAAAAAAAAAAAAACAGAAAUUGAAUUAUAUUAAUUCAAUGUAAUACUUUUCAUUAAUUUUUUCAAGAUUACCGUGUAAUCUAGCAUAUGAUAUUUUUCGACAAGAUGGUUGCGGGUUGACUUAAAGGUGAACAUUUUAUUGUUGGGGGUCCUCCUUUGAGAUAAUGUGAGUUCAGAAUCUCCUCAUCCAUAGAAAAGAGCUCUCUUUUCUGGUCAAGAAAGCUAUGUCUAAAGAGCGCAGCUUGCGGAAACAAUCCAUACAUGAGAGCAUAUUGUCUGAAGAUAAGAAUAAGAUAACGCUUUCUUUGGUCCUUCCACCACAAAGAAUGCUAGCACUAUAAAAGCAAUAAAAAUGAUUGGUGCACUACAACCAUACAUCUCCAAUUCUCCAAAGCAAAUUGGCUUGAACUUUUGCUAUUUCGGCACUGAUUUUGCAAUGUGGCGCAAACUCUUAAUAUAGUACCUUACAAAGCCAAGCUCCAAAAGAACGCCUCAUGGCUUGAAUGAACCAAGAGGCACUGAGCCAUAAGUAGUUCUAUAGUAAAACAAGUUCAUCCGAAGUAACACUCUCUAAAACAUCCACAAGUUUUUUUAAUAACAUAAAAAAAUUAUUACACAGAGUAUUGAUGGCAGAGGUGGAUAGCAAAGGCUGUCGGUGGCGGGUGACCUGAAGUGAGGAGCGAGAAAAGGGAGUGAUUUGUAUAACUACAAUAGGUUAUAGUAAAAUUACACAAAAGCUCAAAUUGGGAGGGAAAUGCAAGAAGGGCAUAAUUGUGUUUGAGGAGUCAUACUUUUAACUACAAUUUCUUGCCUUUUCCCGUUAUGUCUGUAAUGGUAAAUUCUCAUAACAUUAUUAUUAUCAACUUGUCGAGGAACUAGAAUAACUAAAUUGGACCAGCAAUUAGCGCAUCAAUGUGAAAAUAUUAAUGUAACAUAUAGUCGGCCGAAUACCAAGAAUUUAUCGACAUAUCAAAUUGAACAACUUGGACCACUGAGCAGAUUAAAUCCAUUCAAAUCCUUCCCCAUUGACCUGUCCGCUGUUCAAAGCAACCCAGGUGCAUGGAGUAACACUGAAGGAAAGGUCAGGUCAUGUUCAAUAUAAAGUUUAACCACCACAGGAGUUCGGAGUUGGAGACAGCAAGAUAAUGACAGAUAAAACUCCAAUGGCCACUCAAAGAACCCCUUCGCAACUCAUCUCAUUUAUGAGAUUUCGAUAGGAGAAGAUGUGGUUGGGUGUACGCAAUAAAUCCCACAACAUACUCCAGCCUGCCAAGGGCACACGGCAAUGAGUUUCUUGGCAACUGCCAAGAAUGGCUGGUCAGGACUCGACCUACCAUACAUAACCCGGAUUUGGGCAGCCAUAUCUGAAUUUUAGUGGCAAAAAAAAAAGAGAAAAAAACUUCUCACAUUUAAAUUGAACUGCCCAAAUUGGGCCAAACUGAUUUUACCCAAAGGCACCACACAAAAAGUUCGCAAAAUGAAUGAGCUGAAAGUAAAAUAUACCCUUCUAAGUAAUUCUGUGACAAUCUUGAUAAUUGCCAUGUAUCUCGGUUUAUCAUGGAAAAACCUCGACAAAGUAUCAAAUAAAAAACGGCAAGUCUUUCAAUGACAUACCGUGUUGUUGGGACACCAAAGUUAGAAGAAUAACAAUUACUAAAUUGGAACAAUGUUCCCAGGCAAGUUUCUAUCUGAUCAAGCAUAAAUCAAUAUGUCAACAAAAAAGGCUGAGGUAAAAAAUGAGCUCAACCAAUAGAAUAUAGUACUAAAAGACGUAGAAGAAGGAUAGAUCUGCUUUACGAAAGCAAGUUGGUUAAUAGAGUAGCAAGUUUCCGUGAAAAUAAAAUAGCUAAAACAUUUCUCAUUAACAUGAGUAACAAUUCUUCAUCUGGAUGACUGUUUAUCUAUUCUCCAUUAGUUUAGCUUCAGAUGAAACCCAAGAAACAGAAAGCAAACUGAUACAAGUGAUUCAGAAUUGACUGAAUCUAUUUGGUUUAGCUGCAAAAACCAUAUGAAAUGCUAAGUCAUUUACUAUGUCUGUAGAUGCUACUGAUGCAAAAUAGAUUGCCAGGCUACUGUAUGCUGACAAGGAGAUGGCUUUCAGGUCUCCUUCAAAUUCUUUUCAGAAUUACAAUAGAUUAGCUUCAAGCAUCUCUCAAAAGUAUGCGUUUGAGCAAAAAGCUUAGUCAUCCCAUGUCUCAUUCUAUAUCAACUUCUUAACCCAAAUAUUAGCCAAAGAUUACUCAUGUUAUGUCUCAUUAAUUAUCAACUUCUUAAGCCAAAAGCUUGUUCAUCCUGUGGUUUCAAUUUUAGUCAAAUCUCUCUCUCUCUCAAUGAAUGUUGUUGAGUCUCUCAUAUCAUUUGAUUAGUGCAUCUGAGUUGACAGCAACUAGAGUAUUAAAAGAUAAAAACAACACAAAUAUCAGCAAUUUGCUCCCUCAGAAAGGAAAGAUAAAAGAAAGCAUCUGCUUUCUCAUACCCACAUAGACUCUAAUGGAUAAGGACCGCAACAACUUGAGGAACAACAAAAUUUCUGAGUCUUUUGAACUUGUUAAGUAUACCUGGCAAAUGGGCGGGUUGGGCGGUUUUUGGGCGAAUUGAUUUGGGUUUUCAUUUAAAUGGGUGACACCCAAUCCGCCCAACUUUAGAUUGGGUUAAUUUUGGGUUGGAUCAUAUUGGGUCAUCUCAAACUCAUGACCCAAAUAUGACCCAAUAUAUUAAUUAAUAGAUUUUGAUACAUAAACUCUCUCAAAUACAUAUUCACAUACAACAAAAAAUUUUCACACACAUAAACACAUUUUCACAUAGAUAGACAUAUUUUUACACACUAAAACACUCAUAGACACACACACACUCACUUUUUAAACUCUUUUGAAAUACGUUAUUUUUACACAUACAAACACAUUAUAAUACACACUAAUAUACUUUCACAAAUACACACACAUACUAACUAUUUAAAUUACUUGGAUGAACUCACUAUUUUUUAUACAAGAUUUUCAAAUUGGGUAUUGUUUUGAUCCAAACUAAGAGACCGAAACAACAAUUUUGGGUGGAACAAUAAAUUGGGGGGGAGGGACUUGUUUUUUCAUUUUGAAUGAAAAAAAGAAAAAGAAAUAGAAGAACAGGAGGAUGCAUUUUUCCGGAACUCGGCAAAAGGAUGGAUGUGAAGAGCGAAGAGUACAAGGAUUUUCUUUUUUCUUUUUUUUUUUUAAAUCCUACUGACAUUUGUGCUGCACCGUUCAUUUCUCAAUUUUGUUCUUUUUAAGCAUUACUCGUUGAUCAUCCUUCUCAGUGUGUAGUAGUAGUAUAUAUAUGAUAAUUAUACAUACCAGUACAUAUAUGGGUUUUGCUUGAUCCAACAAGGCUGGUCAUUUCUUUUUUGUUUCUUGAUUUUAAGUUGUUAAUUUUUUUUUAACUUAAAUUGGGUAAUGGGUGCCCAACACAAAUACCCAAACCACCCAAAAUAUAUAUGAAUUUUUAUUACCCAACCCAAAAUUAACCCAAAACCCAACUUACCCAACCCAACCUCUCAAAUUAGUGGGUGGGUUGGGUGGGUUGUUGGGUUUUGGGUAUAAUUGCCAGCUCUAUUGUUAAGCCUUCAAAAUAUCCUAACAAGCAUUAUCAUUUCAACAGCUUUUAAAGGUAAAGGGUUUGCUAUCACAAAACAAACAGUUGAUUACUAUUGUUUGGCAGGCUAAGAAACUAUAGCUUAUACUGCUCUCAUUCUUUUAAGUUUCGGCAAAUUACAACUCUGUGUAGAAGGCUAAAAGAAUUUGUAAGUUAGUUUGUCCUUUUUCAUUUAUGCCCUUUGCAACAGUGGCUAACAAAUAUGAUGCAGAGUGCAUUAACUAAUCUAGAAAAUAUGCCUUAGAUAAACUGAUUGAUCUACUCAAAAACUCCAACUAGCAAUAUCCUUACUUUUACCAGAAAGCAGUAGGUUCCCAAUGCUAUCAAUUAAACUCAAAGUUGAAGAUUACAAAUUUAAGCUACUUCAUAAAAAAGUGAUUUCCCUUAUGCUUAUGGUGACAUAAAAUCUAGCAUACAACCUUUGAGGCCCAAAUUCUUGAUGUAACUAGUUGUGUUUUAGACAUUCUAAGCAAAUAUUCUUUCAGUUAUCCAAACAGCCGAGAUAGGAAGGGAACACAGGACUUUCCCAGAGAUUGAAGCUAAAUACAGAUGAAAGCCUUUGAACACAACAUAAAUCAAGAUGCUACAGGUCAAGUCAUGAGAGAUGAAAUGGGAGUCCGCCUAGAAGGUUUCCAGCACAGCUUAGUUUCAUGUUGUGAUUGACAUCACUAUUGCUUCAAAGAAUUACCGAAGGUAAAAUGAUUAAUCAACAAGAAUACCAGUCAUUAAUUCCUCAACAGAGAGAUGAAGAAAGCAAAACAAAUCCAUGCUAACAUCCACUUGGAUGAACCGGGAAAGACUGCAGUUGCUCAAAUAGGAUCUGCAAACCGCUGCAUUUUUUUGGCAGUUGUUGACUUUUUAAACAUACAAUAUCUACCAUUAUCUUUCAAGACAAACAUUUUAGGACUACUAAAAAAUGUCACAACUAAAAUCAAAAUUUGUCCUUCGGGAUAUAUAAGCCAUAUUCUAUAUGCUGUUCUUGUACAGUUAGCUUUUAGUAAGAUUAUAUCUAGGAGUUCAAAGGUGAUCCAGUAUGAAACUGGGUUUAUCCUCCUUGUUAGUUCAACUUCAUGAAAUCCACGCACAGCCCACAAGCAUUUCCACUCAAGGCACAAUUAUCAAUUCCAAACGCAAGUCCAAUUUGAAUUAGAUUUCCCUCUCCACAAUUUCAACUACUAAAGUCCCAUAAAGAUUUCAAAGUAGCAGCUGGUUGUAUUUAUAUAAAUUGAAGAUUCAAGGGUACAAAUUUUGACAUACCAUUCAUACACAAGUUCACAGAGAUAAAAUGCCAACAAAACAAAAUUUGCCCACUAAAAACAUAUCUCAAUAACUAAAUUUGAAACUUAAUCUGUAAAUUCAGGUAGUACAUGACAUUGAGCUGUCACCAGUACUAUCCCGUACCAAGGUAAAAAGACACACUAAUGUACCUCCACAGGCCGUGAUGAUCUGAUGGAAUCAACAAAUCCACUACUAAGUAGCCUUUCCACAUAUUUCCCCAAUAUAUCAACCUCCAAAUUCACCUUCUGUCCAACUUUCUUCAAAGGGAUCACCACCUUUUGCUGUGUAUAUGCAACCAACAUAAAAUUGAAGCAGUCUUCCUCAUCGAACACAUCAACCACAGUCAAGCUAGUCCCAUCAACUGCAAUGAAUCCCUUAGGCACAAUGUACUUCAACAAGUCCUUCCCUGCCUUCACUUUUACCCACAGAGAAUCCCCCUCUGGCUCGCGGCGCACGAUUACUCCGGUCCCAUCAACAUGGCCCUGCACAAAAUGACCUCCCAUUCUAGUACUAGGACUUAGAGCCCUCUCCAAAUUCACCGAAGACCCAUGUUGCAAUUCACCCAGAGACGUUUUCCUCAAAGUUUCCGGGGCUAAUCCGAUGGUGAAUUCAGCCAAUUGGGUAUCGAAAUCUGUCACUGUUAAGCAGGUUCCAUUGACUGCAAUGCUAUCACCUAAAUGAAUGUCCUCAAGAAUGGUUUUUGCUUGGAUUUUCAUGGUAAAGCUGCCAUCUUUAUCAUAGCCCAGAUGCUUAAUUUCGCCCAUUUCUUCAACAAUUCCUGUGAAAAGGGAUCUUACUGGGGUGGAAUAGAAGAGGGGUUUAAAGGGUUUUGUCGGUUUGGUGGAGAAGAGGAUUGAUAAGGAGGGUGGUUUAAGGGUAAAGAUCAGAUUUUUGGUGUGCGAUUUUUGCUGGGGCUGGGGGUUUAGGAGGUUCAGAAAUUUUGGGGUUUUGGAUUGCGAAGAAGGGCUCAGGAGCCUAGACACAGAGGAGGAAGAGCUAGACAGAGCAGUCAUGUUUAGCUGUCGGAAGAGUUGAGGUUUUGAUCCUUGGGCUUUGGCGAAGUUUUUCGGUUUUUGUUGGUUGGAGUUUUGACUUCUAAGUUCUAAGUGCGUAAGACUAAAAUCCUAUUUGGGAUGGGAAAAGCCGAAAAGGGGCAACAAAACAAAUCAGAAAAUAUUCCUAUUUUCCAGUGUUUUAGAACACGGAUCUGUGAAGGAAAGAAUUUACCCAGAAAGAUUGAAGUUCAGGAGAGAAAUGAAAAAAAAAUAAGUGAGAUUUUGCCUUUUCUUUUAUUUUCUUUGGUUAAUAUCAAAGUUUUUCUUUUCUGAAGUUUUUCGUUUCUUUUCUUUUCUUUGAUUAAUAUCGAAUACUUCCAAAACAAUAAAAAUUUUCUUAGAGAGAGCGUUAUAUUCAAGGUAACGCUCUGCAGUCUUAUCAAAUGCCAUUGAUCUUUUUCUGCAGUCUGUACUAUUUUUUUUUUUUUUUUUUCAGUUGGAGGUAUACGGAUCUACACCCGACCAGUCCACCCAACUCCGAGGAGAGCGGGCCCACCGAUCCUGAGGAAAAUACCCCAAGCAGCUCAAGUGCGAAAUCGAAACCAGGACCGGCGCCUUAAUGAAGAACGCGAAGUCCACUCGAGCUGUCCGUGGGGGCUGCAGUCUGUACUAUGUCGAUAUUAGGGACUCGGGGCAGGGACGGUUGCACCUGUGGCAAAUUCCCUCUUCAUCAACAGCGCGUAACUUCUUUUGUUCACCGUGUAACUUUUUUUCCACAGAUUGUAUUUUCACAACAUAUAGUGGUGGGCCCCACACUUGACGCGAAAAUCGAGUUACCACUUGUUAUCUGAACCGCACAUUUUUUCAUGGUCCAAUCUGGACCAUGAACCGUGCAGGGACGGUCAUACUGCCCCAAAUCCCGAUAUUAGAUAUUAGUACACUUACUGGAUAAUAUAAUAGUCAUGGAGUGGAGAAAGAGGGAAAAGAAAAAGAAAAAUGUUGACUUAGUAAAAAUCAAAAAGAAUCUGAGGGUGGCGUUCGAAAAAAAAAAUUUGUAUGCUAGAUUUUGUAGAUGACAAGUUAAAAAAGUCAGAAAACUUUUCGACUCACAUUAGACAACUUUGUGUAAUUGCUUUGAUUCGUAUGCUCAUGAAAUUUAAAAUUAAAAAAAGAUAGAAAUAUAACUGCUGGACUUAAUGUUUUAGGUGGAUUAAAUGCAAUCUCCUAAGUAAAUUAAUAUUUCCUUGUAUGUUGUCCUUAUCUUAGAUAUACCCAUUUUUGAUCCUGAGUAUUAGUUUGGUCUUCUAAUGUAGUUGUUAAUUCAUUCUCCAAAUAUGCAGCAUCUGCUUUUAACCUCAACCAGUCUCGCUCAACCACACGAUCGUGAAUUGUGCACCUCAAAACUAUAUAGAGUCUUACUUUAUAAUGCUCAUUAGACGCCCAUUAAAAAACUUAACAAGAAGAAGAAAUUUUAAGGUCUAGUUUCUAUAGGUUCAUAGGAAAAGGAAUAUUGCAUUCUAUCGAGUAAAAAGCAAGUGAAUUAGGAACAAGAUUGUCAAAAUCUUUCGGCUUUUCUGUGGCCAAUUCUAGUUAAGUAGAACUGAAGCGUCAUACAAAUCGCAUAAAAUUCCCAAAAAUGUCCAUUUCAGCAAACUGUUUUUAACUUUCCUCAGCCAUAUGAUGCCAUAUAAUUUCCUGCUAAUUUAGAAGCUGUCAAGGGAGAGGAGGAAUUCUGAUUUCCAAAAUCAUAUAUUCCUUGUGCAGAAAUUGCCUUGUGCAAUUUUUUGGGCUAAGUGUCUACAAACUAUAUAUACAUAUGUGUGUGUAUAUUACGAAAAGUUUUUUUUUUCUUUUGAGCCGAGAGUGUCUUGGUCUAAUGGCUAAGAUUAGGAUCCAACAUGAAUUGUCUUUUCUUUCUUUUUGCUUCUUAAAUCUCAUUCCCCCUCACAUAGAAUUUUUUUUUUAAAAAAAUAUAAGAAUAGUAACACACAGUACUGGGUUUGUUUGGAUAGAGUAUUAUUUGAAAUAUUAUUUGGAAUAAUUACUGUAGCACUUUUUGUGAUGUAAUGUAUGUGAGAUAAAAAAAUGAUUGGAAAUAUAAAAAAGGUGGAUUGGAAAAUGUGUUUAUAAUACAAGCGAAAUAUUAUUUGAGAUAAUGUGCUAUCCAAACUAUUUUUUCUUUUUGAAAAGUGUAGUUAAUUUGAGAAAUUAUUCAAAUAUAAGAGGCGUAAUAAUUGUGAUUCUAUAUAUUUUACAUUGUAAAUGAUGUAGUCUGUUAACGAAUAUCCAAUAAAAAAAGUCCUAUAUAUUAAGUGUCAUACAAAUUUAAACGUAUCAAGAUCCUAGUUCUUUUUUUUAAUACUUUAAUUGAUGAAUAAUGUGGUUUUUCAUGCACUGAACUGGGUUCAAGACUAAAUUAUCUCAUUUUCCAUCACAAGUAUCCAUCGUGGGCAAAGGAUUGGAGCUCCUAAUAUAACCAAACGAACAAGGAAAGAAAAAUGAAACACAAAAUUAUUAAGAUUAAACUCUAAUUAUAUCCUGAUCGAAAAGGGAAAUCCAACAUAUAUGUCAUUAUAAACUAAUCCCUUUUCGACGAUGCUCGGCAAAGAUGUUUCUGCUCCUAAUUAUUUCGAACCAUGCAAAAGAAAACAAAUUUGUAAUAGCAAAGAUCGAUGAUGGGCUUACUAAUAAUUUGAAGGAUUUGAUAGUAUAAUUUUUUAAUUGGAAACCUAUAAUGAAAGAAAGCUCGGAGGCAGCCGAAAAGGUGUUUUAAUAGAACAAAAUUAUUAUUAUUUUUUGUUUGACGGUGUCUAUGUGCUUGGCUUAGACUCUUUGGGGGUCUAUUUAAUGAAACCAAUGUUGAUUAGGAUAGAAACUUAAUUCUAAUUUCCUCACAAUCUUGAACCAUAGAUUUUAAAACCAAAUCCAACUUUCUACAUUCGUAUACAUAUGCCAAACUGGAUUUGUUUAUAACUUAUUCUUUUUUAUUUGUAUUACUGUGACGGAUUACACGACCAUAUAUAUUGGAUUUUCCUUUUCUACAAGGGUACAGAUAGCGUUUAAUCUUAGUUAUUAUUUUGUAUUUCAUUCAUAUUUUUACGCAUUAUGCAUGGAAGAUUGCAUUAGUCAUCAAAUUCAUUGUAAAAAUUAGAGUUAAAAAAUACUACGAUUUUAGUGGUAUACUUGUAUGUAAUGAACAAUGCACAAAGUCUUCGAAUACAACAGUCAGCAAUAGGGCUGCACAAUGCAAACUGGAAAAGGACGAAGAAACAAAUAUUAGGAUCGAUAGCAAGUAUAAGCACAAAUGUCGGAUCGAAAGCGCCCCCCACAAGAGUAUUGGAACUCUGGAAGAAGAGUGUUAACUAGUACCUGAACGUAUUUUCAUCCAAACAAAAAGCUUAGAGGAUAGAUAGAUGAUUGUUCUUUGUACCAACUUUGGAGGUAAUUAUAUAUUUGACAAACAAAUAAAUACAUAAAUAAAAAGGAAGAAUCCAAGAAGGGAAGAAACUCCUAAUUAGCAGCAAAGAAAUUUUGAAUCCCUGCGGGAUAGGGAAAAGCCUACACAGUCGGCUGUCUAAAUAACCCUCUAUUUAAAGGAGCAAAAUGGUGAAGAGCCGUCGUCAAUUAUUCGUAACUCUUGUGCAAUUAACUUCUUAACUUCUCCUCUUUAAUUAUUUGGUCUUCCCUUGUUUUUAUUUUGUCGUCAAUAACGUGGGAUUCAUGGAAGAGGUAGAACAAGAGACGAGGCAGGAGGUGAAGGAGGUAGUAAUAAUAGUAGCAGUAGGAGAAGAAAGGGUUGAAGAAGUUGAAGAGGUCAAGACCGAGACGACCAUGAAAGGACACCUUUGCUGGCUGGAUGUGCUAGUCAAUGUGGUGGCUUUCAUUUCAGCGGCCACUACUUUAGUGCUUACUAUAUGGGGUUCCUGCCAAAUUCCCAAAGCCAAACGCUUAUCGGAGUCUUAUUCUGUUUUAGUGUUCAUUGUAGUUCUGAUGGGUGUCGGGUCUCUAUACUUGGCUGGAAUAUGGCUCCACCACUUGAUUCAAAUCACUUCCACGGAGAAGCGAGUUGGUAAUAAUCGUUCCUGAAUCGUCAUUUGAUGUUCCUACUAUAGUCAUGGAGGAUUGGAACAUUGAUGUGUAAUGUUCCUGAUUGAUACAAUUUUGUUCUGAUUGUUCCAUUCUUUUUUCUUUCUUUUUUUCCUUUUCCUAUCAUGCAAUCGAGGUUCCCUUUUUUUUUUUCUUCUUGUUUAGCAAAUUAUGCUUGCAAAGAGUUAGGUUUAAAAGGCAAUAGUCGUGAUUAGAGGUGGCAAAUCAACCCACUUAACUAAAUUUAUCCAUACCCGCCCAUGAAUAGAUGGGUAUGGGUAUCUUAAAUUUUUGUAUAUGGGUAUAAAUGGGUUACCCAAUAAUACCCAUUUAAUAAAUGAGUAUUAUUGGGUAACUCAUCAAACCCAAUUAACCCAUUUAGAAUUCUCUUCCCCCCAAGUCUCUUCUUUUCCCCCACCUUUUUUUUUUUCAAAAUUUUCAUUUUGUCAUGAUGUUAACUACUUUUGUUUCAUUAUUAUUAUAAUUAUUAUUAUUAUUAUUAUUUGUUGGUUUUAUCUUAUUAUUUUAUUUUCUCUUAGUUUGUUAACUUGCUCAUUUUUUAGCAUUACCAAUUAUGAUAAAUUUUAGCCUAUUUUCUUAUCUUUAUAAAAUGAAAUUUUAAAUUUAUAUAUGAAAAAAUGUUAGGGGUUCAAAAUUUUUGGAUUAAGUUUUUAUAGUACUUAGUUCAAAUUUUUAUAUUCUUAUUAUUCAAUUAUUAAAUAAUAGGUAAUGUUGUGAAAUAGAGUAUAAAUGAAAAAAAAUUGGUAAUUAAGUUUAUUGAAUAUUAUAAGUAAAUAUUUAAAACUAAUGAUGGGUACAAAGAGUGGUAUAAAUUGAUAACUUAGUUUGCAAAAAUGAAUUUAAAUGAGUUUACAAAAAGUUAAAAUAAAUGGGUUAUAAAUGGGUAAUUGGGUUACCCAAUUCAUUUUUUGACUUACCCAUUUAUACCCAUCUAAUUAAAUGGGUAUAAAUGAGUUGACUCACUUAUACCCAUUACCCAUUUUACCCAACCCAAACCCGCCCAAGUCACCCAUUUUGACACCUCUAGUCGUGAUGAUCUAACCAAACUACACUAGUUAGUUGUGGAUCGGACCUAAGAAAAAAGAGAACUUGUCCCACCAAACUUCAUGCAGUAGUUGGGUUUUAUGAGGAUUACUGGCUAGAGUGUAUUUGCUCAACUUGAACUAUCUAUUCAAGACCUUUGGGCAUUACUGAUCGUUGAAAUUUUUGUUUUCUGAUCAAUUUUGUUUAUAGUAUUUCACCAAUUUAACGAUUUACAUCACCAAUUUUGUUUCUGUAUCUUGUUAAUAAGAUUUUUUUUUUUAAAGGGGUGGAGCAUGAAUGAAUCAGUUGUCUGUAUCGAAGCCUGUUUUGUUUAUUUUCUUGCCCAUUAUGGGUGGCAAAUUAGUGAUAGAAUUAAUCUUGAACCUCUUUCUUUUUCUUUUUCUUUUUUUUCACGUUUUAGUUUAGAAUUUGAUCACGUUAGUCAUCAAUUUCAUAAUAGAAAAGGGUACUAAGAAUAUGAUGACCUCUGUCUCAAUUCGUUUACGUUCAAAGACAAGCAUAAGUUUUAUGUAUAUCUAGAAAAUUGUUUGAAUAGGACCCAGUAACCAUUGAAAAUACAAUACAAAAGCACUAAAGGCACUAAAAUAGAGGGCACAAAUAAUGCAUCCUGCAGAAGAAACAAAAAAAAAAAAAAAAAAUCAAAUGCUCCGUGAAUUUGGUACAAUGUUUGAUAAACAACCAAAACCUUUAGUGGGGUUAUACAUAAAUGUCAAAAGAUUAGAAAUUUUUAUAAGAAACAUUACAAGUAUGAUAAUUUUAAUUGUUAUAUAUUGAGAAAAACAAAUUAAGAAUACACAUUACACAUCUUAUAAGCUCAAAAUUUAUCUAAAGUCGUGAAAAUUUUAUUGAAAACAUUAAUUUAAACGAUAAACUAAUAGAAAAAUUUUUUUAAACGAAUCAUGCUAAGCAAAUUAAUUGUAGUGUGUAAAAAAGGCAUAAAAUUAGAAUUGCAAAAUACUGGAACAAAAUCAGCAUAUUAGUCAGUGUGGAUAUAGAAGAUAAAGGUGUGAAUUUAGCCCCUUACAUUGAUCAUUCUUUCACCGCACGGACCUUCUUGUCUUUUCCUUUUUCUAGUGGGAGUAAGAAACUUCUUUGAUGCUAUGUAUUUUCCCCCUUUUUUCGUGGAUGAUGAGACUGUUAAUUGUCUUUGUUGUUCACAUGGAUACGAAUAGCCUAAGUCCUAAUCCAAAGUGUGAAUGAUGGGAAUGUUAAUUGUCUUUGAUAUUCACUUGGAUAUGAAUAACCUAAGUCCUAAUCCAAAGUGGAUUAGUCCCCCCUCUUCUCUCUAAUUCCGUUAAUAGACCCUAGAUUAAGAUUUAGCCACAUACAAUUGCUGGAUAUAAGGGUCCAUACUGCUUUAUUUUAUUUCCUAGCCUUAAUUAAAUCAAUCAAAUGAUUCAUCCAAUAACUCUUGUUAAUUAAAUCAAUCAAAUGAUUCAUCCAACCCGCAUUGAGUACUGAAGCAUUAUGCAUAACUUGUAAUAAUAGUUUCUAAAUGUUUAGAUCAUAUCUCACACAAAUUGUACUUAAGAAAUUUUUUUUGUCAAUUCUUGAAUUUUACGAGGUAAAGCAUUGACGACCAUAUUACUUCAAAUUUGAAAAACAGUUAUGAGCUUUAUAAUCUAAAAAAACUGACUGGAGAUCCUAGCAAAAUAUUUUGAGUUGUUGAACUCUUAAUUCUAGCACCAGCUUUGAUCCUUGACUACCACCUGCCCAAAAAAAAAAAAUCACUUGCUUGUUUUUUUUUAACUUCUUCCCAGAAAAUAAAGGUCACAUUUGGAUUGCAAUUUUUUUUCUUUGGAGAUUUUGGAAGUUUCUUGUAAAACAAUGACAGAUGUGCAAGGGAAUAUCCUAAACAUGCGAGAAAUAUGAUCCCAAAGAAGUAACAUUUCAAAGUUUCAUACUCUAUCUUGCAGAGAAAAAUGCAGUUUUGGUGUCUAAAUUUUGACACAUGAACAAUGUCAAUCUCCAAACUUUGGACAGAAACAAAUUUGGUACUCAAACUUUCAAUAUUUGAGAACAUUUAGUACCGUUAGUGAUUUUUUUCCAAAAUGCUACUAGAAAGAGUUGCAUGAUAGUUAUAUGUUGGGCAAAUGUUGUAUAAAAAAAAUGCCACAAAAACGUAAAAUAUCUUUAUGACACUAAGGUGAAAAUGAAAUACAUCAAAACAAAGAAGGAGAAAAGAAAUAAGAUGAGCGGAAUUGGGCAAGUGAUUAAAGUUUUUAAAAGAUCUUUCUUGGUACUUAGUGUUAAAAAGAUAUUUUACAUUUCUUUGACAUUUUUUUACGCAAUAGUUGUCGGACAUGCAACUAUCACGUGACUCUUUCCGAUAACAUUUUGGAAACAAAUUGUCAAGAGUGCUAAAUGUACUCAAAUAUUGAAAAUUUGGAUACCAGAUUUAUUUUUAUCCAAAAUUUGAAAAUUAAAACCACUCAUGUGUCAAAAUUUAGAUACCAAAAUCACAUUUUUCUCCUAUCUUUCAUGGACAGGAGAGGUUAGUGACAAUUUUGGUCUCGCAAUAUACUAUUUGUCUCUUUUGACCCAAAGGAGUCCACAUCCAAUAAGUAAUAUUAUAAAUACAAAUAUAUAUUUAGUAGCCGAGCUUAUUAUUUUGGAGUUCAAGUUCAACUCGAAUUAUUACUCAUGUAGUCAGAAUUCUAACUCGAACUCAAUAAAAUCAAGUUUGAGUCGGACAUUUUUUUAUUGAGCAUCAAGUUACCUACGAGUAGACUUGAUUCACUUGCACCUAUAAAUAGAAUCACAUCUCAUGGGUUAAUAACUUGCUAUCUUCACAUUGACCCAUAUAAUUAGGAGUUUCUAAAAUACUUUUAACACCAACUUAAGAUUAAUAAUUUUGGAAAAUAAAUUUUUUGUUUUAAAAAUUUAAACUUUAUGGGUCUAUCUAACGAGCUGGUUAAGAUGUAGUUCACUAGUUCACUUGUUAUAUUUUUCAAAAAGUAAGUUCAUUAGGGAAAGUAUAUAAAUGCAAAAGAAAUUAAUAUUAUUAGUGUGUGUAUUCAUAUGAUAAGUUAAAUGUGAUUUAGUCGUGCUAACAAUGACCUAUGAAUUUACCAAAAAAAAAAAACAAUGACCUACAGGCACCCGUUGCAAAAACUCAAAACUAAAAUUUGACAAUUUUAUUAGAAGUUUAAAAUUAAAUGAAGAUAGAAAUAUAAUUGCUGGACUUAAUGUUUUAGGUGGAUUAAAUGCAAUCUCCUAAGUAAACUAAUAUUUCCUUGUAUGUUGUCCUUAUCUUAGAUAUACCUAUUUUUGAACCUGAGUAUUUAGUUUGGUCUUCUAAUGUAGUUGUUAAUUCAUUCUCCAAAUAUGCAGCAUCUGCUUUUAACCUCAACCAGUCUCGCUCAACCGCACGAUCGUGAAUUGUGCACUUCAAAACUAGAUAGAGUCUUAUUUUAUAAUGCUCAUUAGACGGCCAUUGAAAAACUUAACAAGAAGAAGAAAUUUUAAGCUCUAGUUUCUAUAGGUUCAUAGGAAAAGGAAUAUUACAUUCUAUCGAGGGAAAAGCAAGUGAACUAGAAACAAAAUAAAAUUGUCAAAAUUUUUCGUCUUUUCUAUGGCCAAUUCUUGUUUAGUCAAACUGAAGCGUCAUACAAAUCGCUUAAAAUUCCCAAAAAUGUCCAUUUCAGCAAACUGUUUUUAACUUUCCUCAGCCAUAGGAUGCCAUAUAAUUUCCUGCGAAUUUAGAAGCUGUCAAGGGAGAGGAGGAAUUCUGAUUUCCAAAAUCAUAUAUUCCUUGUACAGAAAUUGCAUGGUGCAAUUUUUUGGGCUAAGUGUCUACAAACUAUAUAUAUACAUAUAUGUGUGUAUAUUACGAAAAGUUUUUUUUUUUUCUUUUGAGCCGAGAGUGUCUUGGUCUAAUGACUAAGAUUAGGCUCCAACACAAAUUUUCUUUUCUCUCUUCUUGUUUCUUAAAUCUCAUUCCUCCUCAAAUAGAAUUUUUUUAAAAAAAAUAUAAGAAAUGUGCUAAAAAAAGUAACACUAUUUUUUCUUUUUGAAAAGUGUUGUGAAUUUGAGAAAUUACUCAAAUAUAAGAGGGGUAAUAAUUGUGCUUCUGUAUAUUUUGCAUAGUAAAUUAGGUAGUAUGUUAACGAAUAUCCAAUAAAAAAGUCCUAUAUAUUAGGUGUAACCCAAAUUUAAAUUUAUCAAGAUCCUAGUUCUUUUUUUUUUAUACACUUUAAUUGAUGAAUAAUGUGGUUUUUCAUGCACUAAACAGCGUCCAAGAGUAACUUAUCUCAGUUUCCAUCACAAGUAUCCAUCGUGUCAAAGGAUUAGAGCUCCUAAUAUAUCCAAACGAACAAGGAAAGAAAAAUGAAGCACAAAAUUAUUAAGAUUAAACUCUAAUAAUAUCCUUGUCGGAAAGGGAAAUCCAACAUAUAUGUCAUUGACUAAUACCUUUUUGACGAUGCUUGGCAAAGAUGUUUCUGCUGCUAAUUAUUUCGAACCUUGCAAAAGAAAACAAAUUUGUAAUUGCAAAGAUCGAUGAUGGGCUUACUAAUAAUUUGAAGGAUUUGAUAGUAUAAUUUUUUAGUAGGAAACCUAUAAUGAAAGAAAGCUAGGAGGCAGCCGAAAAGUGUAAUUCCUCACAUUCUUGAACCAUGGAUUUCAAAACCAAAUCCAACUUUCUACAUUAGUAUACUUAUGCCAAACUGGAUUAGUUUAUAACCUAAUGUUGUAUUUUUUGUAUUACUGUAACGGAUUAAUUACACGACCACAUAUGUUAGAUUUCCCUUUUCUAUAAGGAUAUAGAUAACGUUUAAUCUUAGUUACUCCUUCCGUCCCACUUUGAUAGUCCUAUUUUCCUUUUUCGUCUGUCCCAAAUUGUAGUCCACUUUCCAAUUGAAGAAUGUAAUUGUAUUUUAAUUUUUCUAAAAUACCCUUAUUCAAUGUAAGUUGUUAUUACUAUAAAUCUACCCCAUUUAAUGAGGAUUAAUUCUUUUUUUACCAUCAAUUCAAGUUCCCAUAAAGUUAUACUCUAUUUAAUGUGAGGGUAUUUUAGAAAAAUAGCAAUCUAAAUUUACUUUUCCAACAAAAUUAACUACUUCUUUCUUAAACUGUGUGAAAAAAGAAACAGAACUAUCAAAGUGGGACGGAGGGAGUAUUAUUUUGUGUUUCUUUCAUACUUUUAUUUGUUCGUUUGGAUCAGGAUCUCCAACCCUUUGCCCACGAUGGGCACUUGUGAUGGCAAAUUGAAUAAAUUAGUCUUGAACCAACUUCCUGCAUUAUGCAUGGAAGGUUGCAUCAGUCAUCAAAUUCAUUGUAAAAAUUAGAGUUAAAAAAAACUACGAUUUUGGUUGUAUACUUGUAUGUAAUGAACAAUGUACAAACUCUUCGAAUACAACAGUAAGCAAUAGGCCUGCAAAAUGGAAACUGGAAAAGGAAGAAGAAACAAAUAUUAGGAUCGAUAGCGCCCCCCGCAAGAGUAUUGGAACUCUGGAAGAAGAGUAUUAACUAGUACCCGAAAGUAUUUUCAUCCGAACAAAAAGCUUAGAGGAUAGAUAGAUGAUUGUUCUUUGUACCAACUCGGAAGUAACUAUAUAUAUAUUUAUGGCAUGGGUCUUCUGUUACAUGCAUAUUAACGUUAAACACUCGGGUUACGUAGCCUAAUGUAUUGACACGUUUCUUUCUUAAAAGUUUUUUUCUCGAUUAGAAGUAUAAUUAUAAUAAUUUAAAGAAGAUAGCAAUCAAUAUAUUAAAAUGUUUAAGAUGUUAUAUCCUAUUAUAGUAUUAUGUAAUAGAAGACCUAUUGUCUAUAUAUCAAAUUGUAGGUUUUUGAGAUCAUAAGAUUAUAAAUUGAAGAUUUUGUAUACUGCGCUGAAUUUUUUGUAUUCAACCCAUUUAUCUAUACGGGGCAAUGGUGACGUGAUAUAACUACCUUAAUGUAUCUCAUUUUUUUACCAAAAAAAAAAAAUUUCUUUUAUUAUACUUGUCUUAAUCUUGUGCUUAGUGGCCAAACUUAUGUGAUUCCAUAGUAAAACAGCAGCUGCCAGUAAAGGAUAUGGACUUUGGUAUUGCAUCCAAGCGAACAACAAGGAAUGAUAAAAUCCAUUUAAUGACCCUAUAACAAAUAAAUAAAUAAAACGAAGAAAUUUGUGAAUCCCUGUGGGAUAGGGAAAAGCCAACACAAUCCGCCGUCUAAAUAAUCCUCCUGUUAAAGGAGCAAAACGGUGAAGAGCCAGUCAUCAAUUAUUCGUAACUCUUGUGCAGUUAACUUUUCCUCUUUAAUUAUUUGGUCUUCCCUUCUUUCUAUUUUAUCAUCAAUAACGCGGGAUUAAUGGAAGAGGUAGAACAAGAGAAGAAGCAGGAGGUGAAGGAGGUAGUAAUAAUAGUAGCAGUGGGAGAAGAAAAAGUUGAAGAAUCUGAGGAGAUCAAGAACGAGAUGAGGACCGAGAAGACAAUGAAAAGACACCUUUGCUGGCUGGAUGUGCUAGUAAGUGUGGUGACUUUCAUUGCAGCAACCACUUUUUUAGCACUUGCUAUAUGGGUCUCCUGCCAAAUUCCUGCAGACAAGGGUUUAACGUUCCUGGCAGUUCUUAUGGCUGCUGGAUUCGUAUGGACUGCUGGAGUGUGGAUCUGCCACUUGAUUCCAAUCAUAUCCGCAGAGAAGCUGCUUCGUGAUAAUCGUUCCUGAAUCCUCAUAAAUUAUGUUCCUAUGGUACUGGAGGAUUGUAAGAAUGAUGUGAGAUGUUCCUGAUUCAUACAAUUGUUUAUAGUUUAGUGCAGGCAGCAUCUAAGGUUUCCUUGAUGUUCUUUCAUGACAAAUUUUUAUACUUUAGAUGUUUCAUCAAAUAUUAUUUACGGUUGUUGCCAAGUUCUCGGAUUAAGCAAGCAGUUCUAAGGAUUGGGAUUCUGAUUGCUCCAUUCUCUUUUACUUCUCUCUUUUCUUUUCUUUUUUUCCCCCUCCUUUCCUAUCAUGCAAUUGAGGUUUGUCCUCUUUCUUCUUCUUGCUUAGCAAAUUACGCUGGCAGAGGGUUAGGUUUAAAAGGCAAUAGUCGUGAUCUGACCAAACUGUACUAGUUAGUUGUGGAUUGGACCUAAGGAAAAAGAGAACUCGUCUCACCAAACUUCAUGCAGUAGAUGCCUUUUAUGAGGAUUACUAGCUAGAGGAUAUUUGCUCAACCUGAACCAUCUAUUUUGAAUUUAUACAAUUUUCUUUUUUCAAACUUUUCCCAGGAUGACGUCAUCAAAGUAAUUGUUUUGGAUGGUAUGAAUUCAAGACCUUUGGGCAUUCCUGAUUGUAAAAGUUUUUUGUUUAUUUUCUAAUUGCAAUUUCACACAUUCAUGCUAUAGCACAAAAUGUUUAGGCAUGACAACUUCGGUUUGUUCUUAGCCCAGUAUGGGCUUGUGAGUUGGCAAAUUAGUGAUGAAUAAAUCUUGAAUUUUUUUUUCUUUUUUUUCAUGUUUCAGUUUGAAUUGAUCAAAUUAGUUAUCAAUUGCACAAUAGAAAAAGGAUAUACAGAAUAUUAUGACCUCUGUCUCCAUUCCUUUACGUUCGAAGACAUGCAUAAGUUGUAUGCAUACCUAGAAAAUUCUUUGGAUAGGACAGUAAGCAUCGAAAAUACAGUCACAUACUAAAAAUUAUACCUGACAAUUGAGCAGGUUGGACGGGUUAAUAUUGGAUUUUUAAUAUUGAAUUUUUACUUAAAUGAAUUAUACUCAACCCGCCCAACUUUAGAUUGGAUUGAUUUUAGGUUGGGUCAUAUUGGGUUAUCUCAAACCCAUGACCCAAAUAUGACCCAACAUAUUAAUUAAUACAUUUUAAUACAUAAACUUUUUUUUACAUGCAUUUUAACAUACAAAAAAGAUUUUUUUCACACAUAUAAACACAUUUUCACAUGCAUAAAUGUAUUUUCACACACACUCACAUCUUAAGUUCCUUAAAAACACAUCAUAAAUAUAAUAAUAUUUUAUAUUACUUGUAUUGUGAAUUUUAGAUAAUAAAUUGUACAUUUAAAUAGAUUAGCUAAAAAAAUUGUUUACUUUAUACUUUUUAAUACUACUAAUUGAUUGAAACUUAUUAAAUGACUGGAGACAUUACUGCAUUUUGGUUUUUGGACUCGGUAAUUAAGAGAGAAAAUUAAUUGUCUUGCUGAUUCCAAGCUUCUCAUGAAGUUGACGAUUGGAGGUAUUCGUUUCAGACGAAAUGAAAUCGUUGGCCUAGCCAUGCCCAAGUUGCCAUAAUUAAUCAAAACAAAAUAGAAUCCGCAAGUCCACUAUAUUGAUUUGAAGUUAAUAUCAUGAUCUAUAUACAUAUAAUAUAUAUUAGAAGUUUUUUUUUUUGAUUUGAUAUAGUUAGAUAAUUCAUCACCUGAUUAAUUAGAAUCAUCUAGGAUUAUACUUGAUGCUAUUGUCAUAUUAAUCUUUUAGAAUUACCACAGCUCUGAAAUAAAGCAGAAAAUAUUAUAUGCUUGUAAAACUGGUAUUGGUCCCCAAAAAAUUAUUAAGGAAAAUCCCAAACUUUUUAAGAAAUAAAUGAGAGGAGAAUUCAUGAACUAUUCUGACAUUUUUACCACAUUGGGAUCGCAUUAUUUUGAAUUAUCAAAAAAUUAGGCUGAUACAAAGUAAGCUUUUGUUUGUAAAUUUGAAGAAUCCAAAAUUAUAUAAUGCUACAAGGUUAAAAAAGAAAUUUGUACAAUAUUAUACGUACACAAAAUAUUAACAAACAAAAGCAAUCAUAAAAUAUUAAAAAAGAAUACAAUUAGAACAAAUUUAAAACUCUAUUUUACGUACACGAAAUAUUAACAAACAAAAGCAAGUAGCAACUUGAGAACAACCACAAAAAAAAAAGAAAAAAAGGGGGAGGAAAACAACAUACUCUUAAAAGGCAUAAUAAAUUAUUAUAAAAGUUGAGCAAGUUUAACUAAUGUAUAAAAGUAAAAUAAGCAUCAGUUUUUAUUUCAAGUUUCUUUUUUCUUUUAAAUAAAAAUUAAAAAAAUUGAUUAAAUAUAUAUAUAUGAGAAUUUUGAAUACAAAUUAAUCAAUGAAUUAUUAACACAUGUCCAAAUUUAAAUAGUUGGACAUAUGUGUAUUGAAUCUUGUAUUUAUUAUUUUUGAAUUACUUUUAAACAAUUGGAUAUUGGGUACCCAAAUAAAAAAUCCAACCUACCCAAUAAAUAAAUUGGGUUGUUCUAACCCAACCCAACAAAACUCAUAACUCGAUUGACCCAACCCAUCCUUUAAAAUUAACAGGCGGAUUGGGCGGGUUGUUGGGUUUUGGACUUUUUUGCCAGCUCUACUAAAAAUAUAGGACACAUAUGGUAGGAUAGUUAGCAAGUAUUAGAUCACCAGCCAAUCCUAAACAUUCUUAUAUUGGUAAUCGAUAAGAACAUGUGUAUGGAGUAUGAGCAAUUAUAUCAGUUACGCUCUUAGCAAGUUACAAUUAAAUCUGUAAUCAAGGAACACCAGCCAAUCUAAACAUUCUGCAAUCAGCAAACCAUAAACAAUUGUCUGGAAAAUUGGGAAGUAUACAAAUUGUUUAACAAAUUAGUUAAUUAACCUAAGAUAAUUAAUCCGUAAUUCAAUCCUUAUCUUGGAAUGAUGGAUGAAUUUUAGCCUUUAACUGAUACAAUACACACUUAAGGAUUCAGCAAUAAUCAUGUUGUUGUUAUAGUAAACCAACCUCCUGUGGAUGUGAGGUGAAUGAAAUUGGAAAGCCACAAUCUAGACAAAUUACAUUCUAUAAAGCCACCAAAUUGCAAAACAAACCCCAUGUCUGAGGGAAGGAGAUAGCUACCCAAUUACAAAACAAAUCCCAUGUCUGAGGGAAGGAGACAGCUACCAAAUUACAAAACAGAUCCCAUGAGAUGGCCACCAAAACUAAUAAACUUAAUCGAUUACAAAACAAAACAUCUAUUGAGUUUUGAAGUUAAUCCGUACCAGUCCACCGCCACCUCCUUAACACCCUUGCAAUUACAACUUUUAAAAAAUUGAAGAAAAAACACAAUGUGCUGAUUCCGAAGCAAAAGUCAUGCACCUCAACUUUCAAUUGGAUUGCAGUCCAUAGUGGUAUAGUAUUACCAAACAAGAACACACUCCCAAGAGUAACGAUAAGUUCUCCAACAGGGAGAAGAGGGACGUAUGGUUUUUCUCCUUUGUAGAACCAUCUCUGGUUCCAUCCCACACCAUGAAAUUUAGCCUCAACCAAAAUUGCCAAUGAAGUAAAUACUAUACUCAACAUAGCUACACUGAAUCCUAGUGACAUAGAUCGCACCUAACCGCACGCGAAUAGCGCUUGCCCCCGCGCUCGCUUGCGCGCAACCAUGCCCAUCCGCAUGCAUGCCCGUGUCUAGUUGAGAGCGCUCGUGCCCAUCCGCACGGACGACACCACGCGGCCGUGCCUAGCCGGCCGAGUUCCGCAGCACCAUACAUAGUAGUCUUGGCACCAAAGUUGGGACCGUCAGUAGACCCACACCCCAAUCCCCCAACUAAGCCCCAAGCCUUGAUGGCUUGGCUAAAGUAUGGAGGUUGUGCCACAAUGUGCUAGAGCUAUGUAGGACAUGCUAGAAGCUUGUGGAGCCUUCUAGGGUUUUCAAGAGCCUUAUAUAUAAGUUUAGGACUUUAUGAAUAAGUAUGGACUUGUGUAGAACCAUCUAGUGUUCAACUGUACAUACAAAUUGUGUAGAGAUUUCUAGAGAACUGCUUAGGUGUCCAAGUUGUAGAAUUCUCUAGAUUUGUGUAGCUUCUUGACUUGCCUAUAAAUAGGUCAAGCCCUUUCAUUUGUAGUAAACUUUUGGCAACCUUGUAAAGAAGUUUUGUGUGUAAUAUAAGUUUUCUUUUGCCACAUACUCAUAUCUUUGUCUACUACUUUUGCGUUUCUGUAUUAUAAUCGCGCAUUGUGUGUUAAGGCUGAACUAGUCAAGCGUUCAGAGCUUAAGUCUUGAAUGUACACUAGUGCCGCAUGGGGAGUUGGCUUGUAGGAAAACAAGCAACUCAUGACAAGUGGUAUCAGAGCUUGAUACUGAUUCUUGAUUGCCAUGGCCACAGGUUCGGAUGUCACUAAUGAACCAAAAAGAUGAGCAAGUCAUGAGGGAGCCGGAGAGGACCGUUCCUACUCUCGGCAAAGGCAAAAGAGACAAUUCGGCCGUGGCACACUCGAUGGCGACCCUUGAAGCAAGGUUAGCGCACGUAGAGCUAACCCUAGGUAUCACCGCGACCAUUGGGAUGAGCUAGACCAACGAAUGGAGCAAUUUGAUGGUGUGGAGCUACGUGAGGACAUGCAAGGUGCACUCAAUGAGGCCGUGGAUUAGCUACUAAAAGGGAAUAAUGCCAUGUGGGAGAUGAUCGAGUCUCUACAAGCCGAAGCUGUCCAACUCAAACGGGAAUUGGAGACUUGUAAGACCCAACUAGCACAGGUGCUAGCGUGACCGUGGGAGAACCGUUAACCACGUCGGAAGAGCUUGCGAAAUUCAAAGCCGAGAUUGAUACGUUGUAGACACAAGGGGCAAGUGGUGCGAUCGUGACCGUACCAAGAGUGUAGGUUCCACGUUCGAAGGCCUACGGUGAUGCAAGGAAAAGCGAUGAAAAUUGAGAAUUUCCUUUACGGGCUCGAAUAGUACUUCGAUGCCUUUGGUAUUGCAAGUGAUGAUGCUCGGUUGCGAACGGCUCCGCUAUAUCUGAAGGAUUUUUCUUUGAUAUGGUGGAGACGUAAGCGUGAUGAAGGACGUCGUGGUGAGGCCACUAUCACCACUUGGACUGUGUUUAAGGCCGAAUUUGAGCCGGUCAAUACCAAACAUGAGGCAAGGGCCAAGCUCCGCUAUCUCCAGCAUAAGGACGACCACAUGAAGGAGUAUGUAAGCGAGUUCUCCAAUUUGUUGUUGCAGAUACCAAAUAUGGCACCCGAACAUGCAUUAUUCAAGUUUUUUGACGGCUUACGACCGUGAGCUAAGCAACGAGUGGAGGACAAAUAUUCAUAAAACGUCUCCCAAACCAUGAAGGCAGCCCAGCGCUUGAUUGAGUUCCAACGGAAGAAACCUACGAAAGACAAGGGCAAGAAGCUAAGCAAUGGAAAAAGUGGGGGAGACCGGCCAAAACAAACCUCACGAUCACAGACCAACAAGAACCAGCAAAAGGGAAGAGGCGCCAACAACUUGAAACCGGGGAAGAACUACGAGGGAUGCUAUACGUGUAAGAGUAAAGAGCAUUACGCUCAUAACUAUCCAAGUCAUGGCAGCCUUGCUACGAUUGCGCAACAGACUGGCCCGACGGAGGAACAGAAGGUCGCGUGCGUACGAUGUCUAGAGGCCGUGCAGGCAACAAACGAUCGAAGUCGCAUAUAAAUCGAUACCCAUAUCAAUAGGCACCAAGUGAUGGCUCUACUGGACACAGGGACGGAUGUCAACUAUAUGAGUUAAGACACCGCAAGCAAGAUGGGUCUUGCAUGGGUGCCAGCAUCAGGGCACUUUAAAAGUAUUAACGGUGAAUGGACACGAUUAGUAGGAGAGACAGGCUGGCCCGAUGGAGGAACGGAAAGAAAUGUGAGUUUCCGGAAAGAGAAAUAUGAGUUUAGCUUGCACGAGAUCUCUUUUUUGGGACACAUUGUAGGGGGCGGCAAGAUUCGAAUAGAUCCACAGAAGAUGAAAGCCAUUAUGGAGUGGCAGGUGCCGACUACGCCCACGGAACUGCGGUCGUUCAGCAGUUCCGUGGAUUGGUGAACUACUAUCGCUGCUUUAUCAUGGGGCAUUCAGCCAUUGCUGCUUCGCUAAUAGAUUUGCUGCGCAAGGGCAGGACGUGAACGUGGACAUGGACGGCACCUUGUUAAGUAGCGUUUGAGGCAUUGAAGGAUACGAUCACUAAGGAGCUGGUCUUCGCAUUGGCCGAUUUCGCCAAACCAUUUGAAGUGUACGUGAAUGCAUCUGACAUUGCUGUUGGAGGAGUUCUUAUGCAAGACAGCCAUCCGAUUGCGUAUGAGAGUUAUAAGUUAAGUGAUGUAGAGAAACGGUGGCCGACGCAUGAGAAACAGAUACUUGCAGUCGUGCAUUGCUUACGAGUAUUGGAGCACUAUUUAAAGGUCACUACACCAUUUAAGAUUAAGACAGACAAUAAGGCGGUGAGUUACCACCAGUCGCAGAAGAAGUUGUCAAGCAAACAAACACGAUGAUUGAAUUACUUAACUGAAUUCAAGUACGAGCUUGAAUACAGCUUGGACAAGACGAACGUUGUAGCCAACCCUUUUAGUCGCAAGAACGUCGUCGCGCCCGUGUAUGCUACGAAGGGGCUACUCCUAGAGAGCAUUAAGGAAGGACUUUAGCGCGAUAAUCGGGCGCAAGCGCUUAUAGAGUUAACUAGUGAAGAAAAGAUAAAGAUAUUUUGGCUUGAGAAUGGGGUCCUCUAUGCUAAGAGCCAACGCAUUUAUGUGCCCGACUGGGGACACUUGAGAAGAGAUAUUCUUAAGAAAUGUCACAAUAGCCGCUAUACUGGCUACCCUGGCACGCAUUGUACACUGUCUUUCGUACGAGAACGCUAUUAUUGGCUGAACUUGAGAGACGACAUCGAUGAGUACGUGCGUACUUGUCUUGUGUGCGAACAAGACAAGGUGGAGAACAAAUCACCCACCAGAUUGUUGCAACCCUUGCCGAUACCGAAACAUGUUUGGGAAAGCGUCUCAAUGAACUUUAUAGUCGGGUUGCCUAAGUCCGAGGGAUGUAAGAGCAUCUUUGUUGUGGUUGACCGGUUGUUCAAGUAUGUUACGUUCAUCCAAACCUCAAAAGAGGGUACAGCCGAGGUGACGGCCAAGCCAACUUCCGUAGCACCAUACAUAGUAGUCCUGGCACCAAUAUUGGGACCAUCAGUAGACCCACACCCCAAUCCCCCAACUAAGUCUCAAGUCUUGAUGGUUUGACUAAAGCAUGGAGAUUGUGCCACAAGUUACUAGAGUUAUGUAGGACAUGUUAGAAGCUUGUGGAACAUUCUAGGGUUUUCAAGAAUCUUGUAGAUAAGUUUAGGACAUUGUGGAUAAGUAUGGAUUUGUGUCGAAUUUUCUAGUGUCCAAAUGUACAUACAAGUUGUGUAGAGAUUUCUAAAAAACUGUUUAAGUGUCCAAGAUAUAGAAUUCUCUAGAGUUGUGUAGCUUCUUGGUUUGCCUAUAAAUAGGCCAAACCCUUUCAUUUAUGGUAACCUUUUGGUAACCUUGUAAAGAAGUCUUGUGUGUAAUAUAAGCUUUUUUUUGUCACAUACUCAUAUCUUUGUCUACUACUUUUGCGCUUCUGCAUUAUAAUCGCGUAUUGUGUGUUAAUGCUGAACUAACCAAACGUUCAUAAUUUAAAUCUUGAACCUACGCUAGUGUCGCACGGGGAGUUGGCUUGUAUAAAAACAAGCGGCCCGUGACACUAGAAUAUUGGCAAUAAGUCUUUUCUUCUUGUAAUCGUCUCCCUCACCCAAAGAUAUGAGAUAACCUUCUAUUCCAAAAGCCAAACAAACAACACCAGCAUCAAACUGUAAAUUAAGAUUAGGUGGUUAUCUACAACUAAAGUUCGGUUCGUAUCUAAACUCAAUAAGUGCUCAUCUAAAUCUAAUGUAACUUACAUAGCUUACAAAUUUUGGAGUCAAACAUCCAAAAAUCGGCUAGAUGUUUGUCUCCUCCUCCUUAAUGAUAUCAACACCCCCCUUUUGCUCCUCCAGGGAGUGCUUCAAUUCAUCGUAAUCUUUUUUAAACUUGAUAUGGAUGAUCUUGUAUUUUUCCAUGAGAUCUUCUAACAUCAAAUCUAUGGGUUGCUCAGACGUUUGAUAUUUUCCCUUGGAUUUUGCUUGUAAACCAUCUACACCGUUGAACACCAAUUUGUCUAACUCUGUACAAGAAAUAUUCCAUCACUAAUUUCUUUUAAUCUCUUUGAAGUAAUUUGAAUUUAAAAACCACUUUAAUACAUAUUCUGUAUGAAUGUAUAUUUUUUAACCAUGAUGUAGAAUUUUUUUUUGAAAAAAAUUGCAUAUUUGCAUAUUGAUGUAGCAUGUCCAACUUCAUUUGCAUAUUCAAUGGGUACCAAAUACAAGGCAUACAAAAUAAAUUGUGGAUUUGCCAUUAUUAGUGUUCCUUUUUUAAAAAAAAAUAUAAAAGAAUAUUUCAGAGGACUAGUUACAUUUUGGACUCCAGGUGUUUACUGAUUCUCACUGUUAAAAAAAAUACAUAUGUAGCAAGGCACUUUGUAGACAUAGCAGACCCCGCAUUUGCCUCUCUAACCGAAUUUGUGUUUGAACUAGAAAAGGAAAUAAUUGUAUACAAGCAUAGGCAAUAGAGAAAUAUACCAAUGUCUAGGUGAGAAAUAUCUUCCUCUGCUUUUUCCAUUAGUUUCUCCCGCUCUAGUUUCUCCACCUCCUCCUUGAUUGCUUUAGUCAAUCGCUACAAAACACAGAAAACAACUUUAGCUCCUCCUUUAUUAAAAAAUAAAUAAACUACAGAAAAUAACUUUUUAAGUUCUUGAGAUAGAAACCAAAAAAUAGUAAAAAUGCAAAAUCUCUAAGAUGAUAGGAUUACAUUGAGAUGGUCAUAUUCCCUUUGCAACUCAUCAUUUAAUCUCUUAUUCUCAACCUUCGAGUCAGCAACCUCAUCAUUCAAUCUCUUCAUCUUACUGCUCCAACUUCCAUUUUCUUUACUCAGAAUGUCAACUUGUGAAGCCAAACUCUUGUUUUGAGAUUCCAAACCAUCAUUCUCCCUAAUACAAGUUUCAAGUUCAUAAAUUUUCCCUCUUAACUCCUCCAAUUCACCUAUCCUCAAAUCUUUAUGCCUCCUUAAUUCCUUCUUCUCAUCUGUGAUGAUCAUCAAGUUGUUACUCAUUGUUUCUAGCUCAACAUUAAGAUGAUUCAUUGCAUGUGUGAGCUCUAUAUUGCUUUUGUUCAACUCUUCAAUCUCUCUAAGACAAGGUUCACUUGCCAUUUUGUCGGCAAAGAUGGAGAAACUAGUAAGAAUGCUAAGAAGUAGUGAAAAUAGUUUCAAGUUGGGGAUGUGUGUGAGAACCUAGAAAUUUUGUUAAUUUAUCUAGUUUAACUACAUGGUACUUUAUUUAUUAAGUUAUCUAUUUGGUUAUUUAUUGUUUUUGCCUUAAUAUUUUUUAUUAAAUUUUACAUAUGAAAGUUAAUGUGUGGGAUAAAAUGAAAAUUUCCUUUUUAGGGGGGUGUAAAAGGAACUUUUGAAAAAAAGGAGGACUUUAGUGCAAAAUAGAGAGAAUUGGGACACUUGGAGCUAGAGAGCUCUAGAAGGUGACAAGUGUUGGGACAAUUGGAGUUAAAGAACUCUAGAAGAUGACAAGUGUCACCAUAGGAACCAAGUAAGACCUUUGACCAAACUUUCUUAUCAUUUAAUCUUUCCUUUCUUGCUUUAAAAAAAAAAAUAAAACAACCAAAAUCAAGAGGAAAUGAGAGAGAGAGGGCUGAGAGCUAGGGAAAAAAAAAAGAGAAGAAAAACUCAACUUUUUUUCUCCAUUUUCGCUUCAAAUCUUCCCCAAUUUUGGUUGAUUCUUGAAAUCUUGCUUGAGUUUGGAAGAAAGUCUUACUUGGGGGUAACUCUUGGAAAAAAUUUGGACUUGUUGCAAACCAACAAAUAACAGCAGAGGCAAAGUUUAAAGUUUUUUUUUCUAUUCUUUGUCUCUUGGCCCCAAUUAAUCCAUACUUCAGUCUUUUUUUCAUUUCUAGAUGAGAUCACUUACACCUUAACCGCACCAAUAAUUAUUUAGUCAUUUAUUUAUAAUUCAAAUUAGGAGAAUCAUUCUUCAUUUUUUUAUAUUAGUCUGAUUGGUCCAGUUUAUGGCUUUCAUUUAUUAUAGGGAUAACUUCAUAAACCUCCCUUGAAGUUUCUUACUAUUUCACUUAGUUCCCUUGAUGUUUUAAAAAUUACAUUUAUCUCCCUUGAUUUGACACUUUAGUAACCAAAUUUUAAAAAAGAGUAAAAAAUUUAAUCAAUACCCUAAAAUGCCCUUAUCUUGCAAAGUUCAAUUUGUUCUUCUAAAUAAAAAGAGUAUAAAGUUUUUCAUACUAAUGUUUAUUAUUUAAUAAUCAACUAUAACAAUAAAUCUUUUGCUAUAAUAGGGUAUUUUUCAUAGUAUUUUAUUGGGAACAUAAAUUCUUUUUAAGAUAGAGAAGAAAGUGCUAUUUUGUUUCUUUUGAAGUUUAUGGACUAUUUUUUAAUAAAAAUUUAUGGACUAGUUUAGUGGCUGAACUAUCAUAAUUUGGUAAUGAUUUUGGGCCAUUUGUUUUUAAUUAUUGUUGAAUUAUCCUUAAUUUUGAUACCCAAAAAAGAGCUAUAAAAAAAUUGGAGGAUAUUAAAAGUUAUCAAAAAAAUAUUACUAGUUUAACAUUUAGUUUGGAUAGAUAUUAGGGAUAAUAUUGAUAGUUCCUCUAUACUUCUAAUGAAAUAUAAGAGAAAUGAAUAAGAAGGAAAAUGAUAAAAAAAAUUAUAAAAUCCAUCCUUUGUAUAAAAAUGGCAACAAGAGAGUUUUAUUAAAAAUAUUAAGGUUAGUAUUGUCACUUCAAAUGGACAAAGGAGGUAGGUGUAAUUUUUGAAACCUUAGGGGAGCCAAGUGAAAUAAUUAGAAACCUCAAGGGAGGUUUUUGAAAUUAUCCCUUUAUUAUAUUAGUCUGAUUAUUCUAAAAAAUUCCUGUAAUAUAAUCAUGUAUAUGUUGCUUCUUGUAUAGAAAUUUGCACCAACUUCAAUAUUUCUAUUGUUACUAGUAAAAGUGCUCCUAAUUAAAAUACAAUAAAAUUAAGAUUUUUUGCCUUUUGAUGUAAUAGUUAUGUUUACUGGAAAAUUAGUAAUCCAUUCUUACGAUACCUAGUUUCUUCUAAAAGUACCAAAAUUUAUGUAAAUAAAUUGGAAUAAUUUGGUAAAGGAUUUUAUACUUUUUUACUAAUAUAAUCAAGAGAAUUUUGCACCUUUAAAACAUAAAUAGAAAGAAAGGACAAUGGCAUGAGCAUAAAGGUGACCAAAUGUAAUACAUAUUACACCACAAGUUUAGGUAUGAUUUAUUUACGUAAUCAGUAAUUUAGUUCUAGUCAAUAUGCAUAUUGACUUCCUACAAAUGAAAGUGUAAUUUAAUAGUGAUGCAUUAAUGGAAUUCGUAGUUUAAACACAAUCAAUUGAGCACCUAUUCCUUUUUUUAAGUAGCUAUUAUUUAUUUUGUUACUUAGGUUAAAUAUUUACAUAUAAAAUAAUAGCAAUAGAAUGCUAAUCCUCGGACGAAUGGGACUUCAAUUAUUGUUAAUAAAACUAAUUUUACAUUGAUAAAAAUUAGUCUAGAAAAUGAAAAGUUGAUGGCAACAAUUGCUAAAAUAUAGCAAUUUUUAAUUAUGGGAAAAUAAAAAACUAAGUUCCCAAAAUAUUUCACUUUUAUUGUUUAAAAAAAUCUCAACUUGUUAACUAAAUUCAAAAUAAUUCUUUUAUCAAAAAUAUUCUUCCUCUAAUUAACUUUAAUGAUUAGACAUGGGAUACAAAUACAGUAAAAUAUCCCUCAUAUGUAUGUCAUGGAUAUUUGAGACUUUCGGUAAAAAAAAUUUUGUUAUUAAAAUAACAUUGUAUAAUAGUGUGUUAAUUAUUUUAGCAUCGUUUUAUACGUAAACUGAAUUUAAUUUAAAUUAUACCAUAGAAUAUAUGUGCAUGUGAUUUUCAUUUAAUUGUUGGAUCUCAUUUUUUUGAACAAGCUCCCAAGGAAAAAAAAUCCGGAUCAUACUGAUUUUCUUAUAUUAAUUAUUAUACUAAUUUUGUCAUUUUUAUUGUUAUACUAUUUCUCCUUUUGUUUGGACUUAACUCUUAUUAAUUCUUGUAUCCUAGAUGUAAAUUUAUUAAACUUUAUCAUCUUAGUAUAUUCAUAGGUUUUAAAUUAUAAAAAUUGUGAUAUAUAAACAAGUGAUAUUCUAUAUAUAACUAGAAAGAUUUGUUGUUUUUGUUAUCCAAACUUUCAAACUUUUUAAAAAUUGAAAAUGAUUAAAAACUUAUAAUACGACAAAAUUUGAUUACAUAUUUUAUAAGGUUAUGUGAAAAGUCAAACUAUUUUUCAUGGUAUUCUAAAAUAUAUAAAUACAAAAAAAUUUUUAAUUAUACCUAUAAUCAUGUAUUAUACAGGUAUAUUAUGAGUACUUACUAACUAAGGUACUAAGUUCUAAUCAUUAAUAAAACAUCUUAUCAUUGUUUCAAAUAAACUUCCUAAUACUAAGUUUUUAAAGUAAAAUAGUACUUGUGUCCCAUAAAUCAAUAAGUUUCUAUCAUUAAUCAAAUUUACCCAGUUAUUAAUAAGAAUUACUAUUUAUGUAUAAAAAUUUAUUAUUAUUUGAACUAAACUUAUUCUAACAAGUAAUUUUGGGAUAUAAAGUAGUAAUUUACUUAUUUAAAAAGUACGUUUAAUAUUUAUUCCAAUUUACCUUUUGAGGUAUAAAAGUUACUAAUUUAUUACAGUUAAUUUACUAUUUUAGAUGGGAAACUUACUUCCUUAUUUUUAGGUGUUCUCCUAUUUAGGUGGAUAUGUUGAACAUGUAAUCAAAUACUCUUUAAAAGUACAACAACAUGUUAUAUCAGAAAAAAACUGUUUCGUUACCGUAACUAUCAUUACUAAAGCAUUGUCCGAUAUGGAAAACUUGAAAUAUCUAUUUUUAUUUUAUCCAUUUUUCUAUUUUUAAACUUUUCCCAGGAUGAUGUCAAAGUAAUUGUUUUGGAUGGUAUGAAUUCAAGACCUUUGGGCAUUCCUGAUUGUAAAAAUUUUUUGUUUUUUGAUUACUUUUGUUUAUUUUCUAAUUACACUAUUUCACAAAUUCAUGCUAUAUGCACAAAAUGUUUAGGCAUGACAACUUCGGUAUGUUCUUAGUAAUUUUUUUUGGGGUUUUUAAGGGGCAAAGCAUGCAUGACUCAGCUACCUGGCUUCCCUUUUCUACAAGUAUUGAAGUUUAAUCUAAUUCAUUGUUCUUUCUUUUGUUUAUUUUCUUUGCCCAAUAUAGGCUUGUGAGUUGGCAUAUUAGCGAUGACUAAAUCUUGACCUUUUUUUUUGCAUGUUUCAGUUUGAAUUAAUCAAAUUAGUCAUCAAUUUCAAAAUAGAAAAAGGAUAAUAAGAAUAUUUUGACCUCUGUCUCCAUUCCUUUACAUUCGAAGACAUGCAUAAGCUGUAUGCAUACCUAGAAAAUUCUUUGAAUAGGACAGUAAGCAUUGAAAAUACAAUCGCACACUAAAAAUAUAGGACACAUAUGAUAGGAUAGUUAGCAAGUAUCAUAUCAAGAAACAAUUUUCAUGUCUGGUAACUAGUUUAAAAAUCAGACUAGUACAUAUGGAAACUUUUCAGGCCAUUAAUUGGAGAGAGAGCUCGUCUUAUCACUUUUAAAUUUGGCUCAUAUUACAGCUUUUAUGGUUUCUCAUCUUUUAUUUAAUUUUUGGUCAAAGAACAGAAGAACACCACUAAGCUUCUACUCCAUAUAAGAGAAAAGCUACAAGGAUUGCCUUAUUUAUACAAGCAAAAAAGGCAACCUAAAAGUAAGUGCAUUAACAUUCCCAAAAAUGAAAGAUAUUUCUUAUCACGGUAAUACCAAAAAGUUAAGCAUCAAAUAAAUGGUAAGCAUAAAUGUUAAGCAUCAAAUACCAAAAAGGAGAGAUGAAAAUUCAAAGAUACCUUGUCUGUGGUGGCUUCUUCAUCAUGUAGUUGUUGCAUGGGUUUAGGGCAUUGAUCUUUCUGUCUUAAUGUGCCUAAACAGGUUGAAUGGCUCUUGAACAUCAUUGGACCAAACUUAACCGAUAACAAUACAGAACGUUCACCACCUAGCUCUAUGGUUUUUUGAAGCCCAAGAUUUAGCUUCCAAGAUUUAAAACUUCAUGACAGAUAUGAGAAAUAAUAGCACAAAAAUUCCAGUCAAAUUAAUUCUAGGAUACCACUUUGACACCAGAAUCAAGCAGCAAGUGUAACUCAGCAUAGCAGCACUAAAUUGAUCAAUGCAAACCAACAAAUAACAGCAGAGGCGAAGUUUAAAGUUUUUUUUUUCUAUUCUUUGUCUCUUGGCCCCAACUAAGCCAUACUUCAGUCUUUUUUCAUUUCUAGAUGGGAUCACUAACACUUUAACCGCACCAAUAAUUAUUUAGUCAUUUAUUUAUAAUUCAAAUUAGGAGAACCAUUAUUCAUUUUUUUUAUAUUAGUCUGGUUGAGCCAGUUUAUGGUUUUCAUUUAUUAUAUUAGUCUGAUUGAUCUAAAAAAUUCCGUAAUCAUGUAUAUGUUGCUUCUUGUAUAGAAAUUUGCACUAACUUCAGUAUUUCUAUUGUUACUGGUAAAAGUACUCCUAAUUAAAACACAAUAAAAUCAAGUUGUUUUGCCUUUUUGAUGUAAUAGUUAUGUUUACUGGAAAAUUAGUAAUCCACUCUUACGAUACCUAAUUUCUUUUAAAAUUACUAAAAUUAUGUAAAUAAAUUGGAAUAAUUUGGUAAAAUAUUUUAUACUUUUUCACUAAUAUAAUCAAGAGAAUUUUGCACUUUUAAAGCAUAAAUAAAAAGAAAGGACAAUGGCAUGAGUAUAAAGGUGACCAAAUGCAAUACAUAUUACAUCAUGAGUUUAGGUAUGGUUUAUCUAUGUAAUCAGUAAUUUAGUUCUAGUCAAUAAAAUUUAAUAGUAAUGCAUUAAUGGAACUCGUAGUUUGAACACAAUCAAUUGAGCAGCUAUUUCCUUUUUUAAGUAACUAUUAUUUAUUUUGUUACUUAAGUUAAAUAUUUACAUAUAAUAGCAAUAGAAUGCCAAUCCUCGGACGAAUGGAACUUCAAUAAUUGUUAAUAAAACUAAUUUUACAUUGAAAAAAUUAGUCUAGAAAAUGAAAAGUCAAUGGCAACAAUUGCUAAAAUAUAGCAAUUUUAAUUUUGGAAAAAUAAAAAACUAAGUUCCCAAAAUAUUUUGCUUGUAAAAAACUAAGUUCACUGUGGUAAUGACCAAUGAAUAUUAUUUUCUUUUUAUUUUCUAUAUAAUUUGCCCUUUUAGUUAGGAUACUAAGUUGAAGAGCAAAAUAUUGUUAUUUACUUUUUUUACUUUUAGUAGGGUUGGUGGUUUUCCUCUUUAUUUACCCUCACAUUAAUAGAUUUCAAAUCAAAUUCCUAUAUAAGUGGGUCAUUUGUUACUUUUAAAUUCAAAAAAUAUGAAAGGAUAUAUAAAAAAUUUUAAAAUUUAAAAUUCUGUAAAAAAAGAAAAAAAGGAUGAGAAGUUAUAAGCAUUCUGAUUUAAACAUUCUAAAAACCCUCCCUACAAUACAUAUAGAUAUAGACAUAUAGAUGCUCUAUAAAGAUUUCAAUAGUAGACUUCUUAUUUACUCCCAUGUUGGUAUGUCCCUGGUUUAAUGCUACCUAGAUGUGAUACAACCACCAUAGACAUAUUUAAUUUGAAAAUUUAUUUUUGUGCAUUGGUUUGUCAAUGGAAUUUACUUUUUGACACAUUAGCUUAGUAAAGACUUGCGUAAGCAAAUCACUUCUCUGUGAUUUCUUUUUACAGAUAAGACUGGUUCUUGCUAAUUAAUCUAAUCACCCAACAUUUUUCUCUGGAAAAGGAUUGAUUUUCUCUUAUUUUAUUUUUUUUGUGGUUAAAACUGUGGUUCGCCGUGCUGGACAUAGUCUGUUACUAGUUGUGGUUUACCGCAUCUUAGCUUAAGUUAAUAACUCAACAUUCCAUGAUCUCCUUGGAAGAUGAGUGGGAUAAUUUGGAUUUUGUGUGGACUUCAUUCUGUAGGACUAUAUCAAAUAGGGUUAAUUACAAUUUGCCCCCUUGAACUUGACCCUUUAUAAUACUUUGCCCGCUUAAAAUUUAAAUAUAUACACUUUACCCCCUUCAUUGACUAGUCAAACAUUAAUGAUAAAAUUUCCAUCCAAAAUUUUAACAAAAUGACAUUAAUGUCCAUACAUAAUAGUUCUAAAAUAAUGCUAUACUUUUAAUCGGAAUAUGAAACAUCUUAUUAGAAAAAGCACAAAGUCACAUGAUUUUAAAAAAUUAAAAAUGAUUUUAAAAAAAUUAAAAAAUAAAAGAUGGUAUAAUACCAAAUAAUUGAAAAAUUGUAUUGUGGAGAGAAAAAAAUUUUAAAAUUCCUAAAACAUUUGCACAAGUUUUCCAUCGUUUAUCUUUCUUUCUUUAAAUUGUAAACAGUUUGGUUUUGAUAAUUUUCAUUUACCUUGCAACUUUCACAAGAUCUUCACAAGUCAAUAAGAUGCUAUUUGAUAAUUUUAUACCACAGUCAUACCUUGCUUUAUAUUUUUUUGAACUCUACAUUUAAAAAAACUAAAAAUUCUCUAAAUAUAUUUUUCAAUACAUUUUUAUUUGUAUUCAUGUUUUUAUCUCAUAUAAAACACAUUAAAAAGUAUUCCAAUAAAAAAAUAUAGGCAAAUAAUUUUCAUUCCAAAUGCACUAAUUAAUUUUAUUUUAUUUAAAAUAAGUAUUGCUCUUGGCAUUGAGCUAAUUACAUUGAGUUGCUUAGACUUCUUUUUUGUAUAUUAUCCAACCAAUCUAUUUUAGUGUUAAAAGAUCGAAACACAUAGUGUAAUUGUGUUUAGAUACAUUUAGCAACUAUUAAAGAAAUAGGUAUUUAUUAUGUUACAAUUUUUAUGUGUGUUUAAGAAUUAGCUAGGGGUAUUUUGGUCAUGAAAAAUAUAACUUUAUUUUAACUCAGUCAAAAAGUUGACCACAAGGGGGUAAAGUGUAUAUAUUUGGAUUUUAGGGGGAUAAAGUGUUAUAAGGGCUCAAGUUAAGGGGGUGAAGUGUAAUGAACCCUAUCAAAUAUCCUAUACAAAAUUCUUAGUGGGCAGUGAUACAACCUUGAUUAUUGGUUCAUAGAAUCAGCAACUUCCACUUCUCAAACCAUCAGUGGAAUAGAAAAGAAUACUGCUAGUAUGUGUGCGCAUUUAUUUAUUAAUAUCUGCUUUGCAUUUACAAGUCAAAACAGGUCAUGUCUACUAAAGUUGGUAACUUCUUCAAUUUAUUAAUCCUGUAUUAUUAUUAAAAGCUUAGCAUUACUUUUCAUAUCAAUCAUGCAGAAUUUUAGGCUUGUUGGAUUUGUUGUGAUGCAAUAUGUUUGGUUUUUUUGCAUUUAAUGCAAAUUCAUUUUUCAACUUUUAAGUGAUAGGUAACUAAUUUCAAUAUUCAGUGAUCUGUGAAGCUACCUAUAGAUAAUUUUCUCUUGUAAUACAAUUGGUAGAGGACAUUGUAUAAUGCUGUCUCUUUUUUCCAUGGUUGUUUGGGAUAUGUAGGUCCACUAUUCGUCACAAGCACGUGACAUUGUCUAAAUUUGUCAUCAGAACUAGUAUGGUAGUUAGGUUUUAUUAAUUACAAGGUCUAAAAUUAUAUGGAAACACAACAAAAGAGUCUCGUGCUCGUAUAUUUGCUAUCGAUAAUAGCCAAGACCUCUGCUUGGGGAUGGUUGUUAGAGGCUAGGAUUGCAUCACCAUCUGCUAUGACAUUUUGCCCAACUUGCUUAUCCAAAUUUUAAUGAAUUAAUUAAAAGUUAAGAUGUUUUCCGUAGCAUCUACGUUCCUGAACUUUAUUUUCUGUCUUUUUAUUUCCUUCUCAUUUUCUUUGUUUUUGCAUGUAUAUUACCUUGCCCUCCCAAUAGUGCACACACGUACAUAGAGAAUUACGAACUAUAGGAUAUUCUUUUCUUUUCUUUGGUAGGGAGUGCAUUGGAAAGAGAUGAUAAUUGUCUCUCAACAUAUGGUAUAUCCCAAAAAACUCCUCCCAUAAAUAAGUUAGUGCAAUCCACUGUGCAUCAGACGGAUAAGGUCGUAUCCUAAGUGUUUUCUGGCCAUUAGCUUGCACUAGGAUUUUGCUUGUAGGAAAGAAGGAAUUUUUCCUGUGUAUAUCUGCUCUUUUACUUGAAUCAUUAAACUUUAUUAUUUAAGUCAUCAGAUUUGUCCACAGAGCAGCUCUCUAAUUUACUUUAUUUACAUUUAUAGAUGAGCGUUUAUGCUAGAGGGGUAUCAAUGUUGAUGCCUGGAGAAGAAAUCCCGACCUUCAUUGCUUAUCUAGCUCUAGCACCAUGUCCCAUGAAGGGCGUCGCGCAGCUCUUCCAUCAACAUAAUGUGCUUCCCUCAAACUCUUCAAUGCAUAGCCGUAUCAAUCAUUAAAUAGAAGAAAGCAAAGCUCAAGAAAGAUCACAUGAUUGUUGAGGGAUUUCCUUUUUUUUUUUUUUUGGAAAAGACAUUACUCAAAACCAAGUUAACCGAAUCGAAUAAUACGUGACAUGUGUAGAUUGAUUGUAAUAAUAUAAAAUUUCAAAAGGAAAGUUAAAGAAAUAUAUGAACAAAGACGCAAGUAUUGGUAACUCCCCCAUAAGAAUGGCUCAAAUCAUUGCAUUAAACAAGUGAGAGGAGCACAAUAGCAAAAUUUUAAUGGAUGAAGUAAAAGUCAACAUGUAUUCCGCAGCAUCUGCGUUCCUUAAUAAAUAAAUAUAUAAAGAUAUGUAUCUCUCAAUGGAACUGCCACAUAUAAGUACCUAGAUUAUCUCAUAGUAAAACAAUUCGUGCCAGUAGAUGAUAAGGAUUUAGGUAUUGCAUCCAAGCAAACAACAAGGAAUGAUAAAAUCCAUUUAAUGACCCUAUAAAAAAUAAAUAAAUAAAAGGAAGAAAUUCAAGAAAUGAAAAUACUAAUUAGCAGUAAAGAAAUUUAAGAAUCCCUGUAGGAUAGGGAAACCCUAUAAAAAAAUAAUUAAAUAAACAAAAGGAAGAAAUUUGAGAAGCGCAAAUAAUCCUAAUUAGCAGUAAUGAAAUUUCAGAAUCCCUGUAGGAUAGGGAAAAGCCAACAUAAUCGGCGGUCUAAAUAACCCUCUAUUUAAAGGAGCAAAAUGGUGAAGAGCCGUCGUCAAUUAUUAGUUAACUCUUGUACAAUUAACUUCUUAACUUUUCCACUCUAAUUAUUUGGUCUUCCCUUGUUUUUAUUUUGUCGUCAAUAACGUGGGAUUAAUGGAAGAGGUAGAACAAGAGAAGAAGUAGGAGGUGAAGGAGGUAGUAAUAAUAGUUGUAGUAAGAGAAGAAAGAGUUGAAGAAGUUGCGGAGAUAAAGACCGAGACGAAGACCGAGAUAACGAUGAAAGGACACCUUUGCUGGCUGGAUGUGCUAGUGAAUGUGAUGGCUUUCAUUGCAGCUGCUACUACUUUAGUGCUUACUAUAUGGGCCUCCUGCCAAAUUCCUAAAACGAAAAGUUCUGUUUUAGUGAUCAUUGUAGUUCUUAUAGGUGUUGCAUCUCUAUAGCUCGCUGCAAUGUAGCUCGACCAAAUGCAAGAGCCUCUCAGACUUCAGAUGGUACAAAUACAUAUUCUUAACCAAAAUAUAUGCAACAUCAGACGGCAACAAAGCCUACUGGAAAGAAAAAAUCGUUGAUAGCCUUUCGAAAUCACUAUGAGACCUAGUUCGAGAAAAAUUCAUGACUCAAUAUAACAAGACUGUACCAUGAGAAACAAUAACCUAUGGACAGUUAACCAGUCAAAUUCAACAAAUCUCACUCAAAGUAUGUAGACAAGACAAGAUGCUCAGACAACUUGCAAAGGAUUAAACCCAAAGGAGAAAAGAUCUUAGAUCAUUCUGGGAAUAGUUUGGGUUACCUAACUAUUAUAAAAAAAAUCCCAUAAACAACCUUGAAAAAUCCUCCUACUACAACAAGAGAUACCAGGCCAAUAAACAACCACUUCUCAUACAACCACCUCAAAUCACCGGACCAACUCCAUCUCCAAUCAUUUGUCACAAAUGUCACAAACUUGGACAUAUAACCCGAUAUUGCAAAUUCAACCAAAAAAUCAAUACCUUAGGUCUAGAUGACCAAAUUAAAAUCCAAAUAUCAAAUCUUCUGAUUGAAUCAGAUACUGAUGAUUCUGAACGAGAAGAAAAUUAUAUCAAUCAAUUAGAUGAUGAUAUUUCAACAUCUUCCUCUUUGGGUAUUAUUGGGUAAUCCAUUUAUACUCAUAUGUAAAAACUUAAGAUACAUAUAUCCAUUUAUUCAUGGGUAGAUAUGGAUAAAUUUAGUUAAAUGGAUUUAUCUCCCACCUAUAUUUAAGAGUAACCAUGAAAAUCACGACGCUACUAGUAUAUUAUCCCAGAUCUGAUUCUUCUUAACUUCAUUAACUUUUUCUUCUCCUAUUGCUACUAUUAUAACAUGAGGAAACCAAAAGCCAAUAAAUUGAAAAACUAAGAAACGACAAAAGAGAUGAGAAAGUCUAUGAUGAUACUGUUUCUUUUGCUCCUUACUUUAAAAAGAGGAAUAAUUGAUGACGGGAGGGGGCUAAAUUCAUAUCCUCUCAUCCUAAAUUCAUAUCUUAACUACCAACAUGACAAUAAAGUUCCUAUCACUUACAAUUUUUUACAAUUUUAAAAUUAUCAUUUCAUACAAUAACAAUUUGCCAUAACAAUAUUCUUUCAAUUAUUUCCUCAUUUUCUUUUAAUUCAUUGAUUGUUCUUUUUAAUAAUUUACAUUGCAUUAAGUGUCUUUAACUAAUUGUAAACUCAUGAAACCAAUCAAACUACAUAACAGAAUUAGAGAUUGCAGGUACUAUGAAAGUGCGACUACACAAAUAAUUUCAUCACUUCAAUGCAAUAGAUAUGCAUCUUACAAACGAAAUAAAAAAAAAAGAACAUCAAAUGCUUCGUGAAUUUGGUACAAUGUUUGAUAAACAACCAAAACCUUUAGUGAGGUUAUACAUAAAUGUCAAAAGAUUAGAAAUUUUUAUAAGAAACAUUAAAAUUAUGAUAAUUUUAAUUGUUAUAUAUUGAGAAAAACAAAUUAAGAAUACGCAUUACACAUCUUAUAAGCUCAAAAUUUAUCUAAAGUCGUGAAAAUUUUAUUGAAAACAUUUAAAAGAUAAACUAACAGAAAAUUUUUUUAAACAAAUCAUGCUAAGCAAAUUAAUUGUAGUGUGUAAAAAAAGGCAUAAAAUUAGAAUUGCAAAACAUUUGAACAAAAUCAUCAUAUUAGUCUUUAAAGUGUGGAUAUAGAAGAUAAAGGUGUGGAUUUACGCCCUCCUCCCAUUGAUCAUUCUUUCACUGGCACCGACUUUCUUGUCUUUUCUUUUUUCUAGUGGGAGUAAGAAAUUUCUCUGAUAUUAUGUAUUUUUCCCAAUUUUUCGUGGAUAGUGAGAAUGUUGAUUGUCUUUAUUGUUCACAUAGAUGCGAAUAACCUAAGUCCUAAUCCAAAGUGUUAAUGAUGAGAAUGUUAAUUGCGUUAUUCACUUGGAUACGAAUAACCUAAGUCGUAAUCCAAAGUGGAUUAGUCCCCUCUCUUCUCUCUAAUUCUGUUAAUAGACCCUAGAUUAAGAUUUAGCCACAUGCAAUUGGUGGAUAUAAAGGUCCGGAAUGCUUUAUUUUAUUUCCUAACCUUAAUUAAAUCAAUCAAAUGAUUCAUCCAAUAACUCUUGUUAAUUAAAUCAAUCAAAUGAUUCAUCCAACCUGCAUUGAGUACUGAAGCGUUAUGCAUAACUUGUAAUAGUAGUUUCCAAAUGUUUAAAUCAUAUCUCACACAAAUUGUACUUAAGAAAUUUUUUUUGUCAAUUCUUGAAUUUUACGAGGUAAUGCAUUGACCUCCAUAUUACUUCAAAUUUGACAAAUAAGUAUGUGCUUUAUAAUCUCAAAAAACUUACUGGAGAUCCUAACAAAAAUAUUUUGAGUUGUUGAACUCUUAAUUCUAGCAGCAGCUUUGAUCCUUGACUACCACCAGGCCAAAAAAAAAAAUCACUUGUCUUUUUUUUACCUUCAUCCCAGAAAAUAAAGGUCUCAUUUGGAUUGCAAUUUUUUUUCUUUGGAGAUUUUGGAAGUUUCUUGUAAAAUGAUGGAAGAUGUGUUAAGGGAAUAUCCUACACAUGCGAGAAAUUUGACGCUAAAGAAGUAACAUUCCAAAGUUUCAUACUCUGUCUUGCAUGGACCAGAGAGAUUAGUGUCAGGAUGAAGAAUAUAAACCCAGAAAUGUAACAAAACUAUAACAUGCAACGGUGAUGUUUUAAGCAAAUACAAUCAGUAGUCGUUUGAGGGAGGAAGUAAUAGAAUUGGUUAGAGUCGGUUACAAAUCCUAUAUGUAAAGAGAUGAUUGGUGAAAAAGGAAUCUAAGGAAUAACAGAUAUCAAUUCUCUAUUUCUCUCUCUUUUUCUUACCUUCCCUUUUCUUCCUUCCCCUUUUUCCCGCCAUUUGUUCUCAAAAUCCACAUUAGUCCUCAUAACCCCAAAUCACUAAUCAAGAUCUUGACAUGUGGUACCAGAGUAGGAUGAAUCCUCAAAAAAUUCGGAUUCAAUGGCAGAAAGCACUAGGUUUAAGACAUUGGAGGAGCAAAUCAAGAAGCAAGAAAUUAAGUUUCAAGAGGUAGUAGAAGGUCUACAAGCUUCACAUCAUCAGCAACAACAAAUAUGCAAUGAACUGCGCACAGAACUAGAAGACAGCAAUAAAAUGAUGGAAGACCUGGUAGCUGGAAUAAAGCAAGAAUUUAGUGCAUUUAUGAAGAUGAUGAUGAGAAGAGACAAGACAAUUCUAGAAGAAGGUAGACAAAGAAAUGACCAAACACCCCUAUUACCGACUCCGCCAUUGAGUCAGAGGUUACAGAUUGGCUCUGAGAACACUAAAACAACAAAGAAGAAGGUAGGUAUGAUUCUAAUACCAAAUCCUCCAAAAAUUAACUUACCAUUGUUUACUGGUGAAAAUUCGAGAGAUUGGGUCAAGAAAUGUAAUGAGUACUAUUUGAACUAUCAAAUCCCUGAGGAACAGAAAGUGAAAGUCAUAGAAAUGUAUUUAGAAGGAAAGGCAAACC
Molecule: long non-coding RNA, 84169 nt
Filed under: Coffea arabica (coffee)
Lineage: Eukaryota; Viridiplantae; Streptophyta; Magnoliopsida; Gentianales; Rubiaceae
Description: long non-coding RNA (CARA_LNC003847)
Source: RNAcentral